AUAAACUUCAAAUAUCCCCCCGUGCUUUCACAACUUUUUAUUUUAGUAUUUUAUUAUUUAAAGUGUAUCAAGUCAGUACCAUGUAGUUUUAUUUAUUUAUAUUUAUUAUUUUUUUUAUUAAUUUUUUUAUUAAAUCAGUGACAAAGUUAAAAAUGAAGGAUACUAAAGUGAAUAUUCGAUAAAUCUAGGUAGGGUAUUUGAAGUUUUUCGUAUAUAAUUUAACGAAAUAUUAACGAAAAAAAAAUCAGUGAUGAAGUUAAAACUAUAAGGUACUAACGUAAAUAUUCGAUAAACCUAGAUAGGAUAUCUGAAGUUUUUUUGCAUAUAAUUUAACAAAAUAUUAACAGAGGAGUCGACGAAAAGAGAAAAAUAAAACCAUAAAGUACUAAAUUGAUACACUUUAAACCAUAGGGUACUAAAGUGAGAAAGUACGAAACCACAUGGUACUAAAUUUAUAUACUUUAAACCACCGAGUAAAGUGAAAAAGUGCGAAAUCACAUGGAUGACAUUUGAAGUUUUUCCAAAAUUCAAUAAUAGAAAAAAAAUGCUAAAUUAUAGAAAAAAAAUCCAUACAUACUCAGUUUUUUUUUUUACUUAACAUUUCUAAUUUUGAAAAACCUAUAUUCUGUUCCUUGAAAUUUAUGGCAUUAAUGAAGAAGACAAAAUGAUCAAAUUAUUUUUUUAUACAAAAUAUUUUUUAAUACAUUUCUGUUAUUUUUAAGGAUAUUUUGGGUAUAAAUUAUAAAAAUGGGCGGAAUAGUGAUUGAAUCUUGACCGAGGGGAAUUAAAUGCAACAAUUUAAAAUAUUAAGAAAGUAAAAUAUAGGUUUUUAAAAAUUAUGAAGGAAAGUAAAAUAGAUAUUUAUAAUGAAGUUUUUUUUUUUUUGUAAUUUAGCAUAUAUUUAUAUAUAUAUAUAUAUAUAUAUAAUAUCAGGUUGCGCAUAUUAGUUGGUUAAAAUAUAUUAUUAAACAAAAACUUUAAUAGGGAACUUUUCAAUAACGUUUCGUUAAGAAGGCCUAAUCCAUCGUCGCGUGUUAUUUUUAUUUUUAUUCAAGGGUUAUCAUAGUUCAUCUUACUAGGAUUCUAAUAAAUUAUUUUUUAUAUUUUACCACUAAAAAAUACCCAAAGAACGAUUGGAUGAAGACAAAAUUAAUAUGUAGCAGUGAAUCAAGGCUCUCCCAACGAGGUGUCGUUUGGGAAGUUAUAUACUAAAGUUUUAUCCAUAUUUUUGAACAAUAUUAUUUCUGUACUUAUAGGAUAGGUCUUCUAAUUUUGUUAUUAUUAUUAUUUUUACUAAAAUCCAAUUAGGUUUUGUCAACAGAGAGUAUUCUAGUAAUAUUUUUCUAUAUAUUUUAUAGUCAUAUCCAAAAAAAAAUAUUUCUAUAUAUACUUUCGUUUAAUUUUUGUCUUAUUUAAUAAUAUCACAUGAUCUUAAAUAUCAAGCAGACUCUAAUUAGUCUACGAGAUCUCUAGGAAUUAUUAUUAUUUUUUUUAACCUGAGAUAUCAUUUAAAUUUAUUUAGAGCCAACCAGGCUAGAAAUAGAAAUAAAAAUUAUAGAAAUUGAAUUAAUAUUGUUUGGUAAUUAAAAUAUAGUUGCUAUUUUUCAUAAUUGGUUAAAACAUAUGGAAGUGAGAUACACCCUUAAACUUAUCAUCAUUAUCAUUUUUUUUACAACAACUCCUUAAUCCUAGAUUUUUUUUAAUUUGAGUUAUUCUAAUUAGUUAUUAAAAUUAAUCAUUUUGUUAACUAUGAGUCGUUAUUUUGUUAGUUUUAUUUAUCAAAAAAAAAUUAAUUAAAUCUAAAUUAUUAGAAUCACCAAUAAUCAGGUGCAUGUAUGGUCUAUUCAACAAGUAAUACGUGUGAACGGUGCACCGGGCGCACGCAACGAAUUAUUUACAAAAGCGUUCAAACCAAAGCUCUUACGUGUCAGAAUAGUAUUGGCCCAUAAGCCCGUUUCCUGUUCCGGUCCCACACAGCCGAUCGGUCCACAUCUUUUUCGUGCUAAUAAAUGCCUUUCGGAAAUUGCCGGUUCGCGGAUUCCGCUGCGGCAAAAGUCGACAAAACGUCUCCGAAUUCGGUGGGCCCCACUGCAUAAGCGCAGGUCCGUACCCACUCGGCUUAUCAAUUGCUGAUAAGGAGAUGUACGUAUCACACGCGAUAAGCGAAUGCGGUUAUUCCUUCUGAGGAACCCCCACCUCUCUUUCUCUCUCUCCCAACCCCUAUAAAUUGGACAUCGCUGGAUCUGUAAUUUUGGAUAUUUUUAUUUAAUAAUUUUUGUUUUUUAUUUUUUAUUUUUUUUUUAUUUAAAGCUAUUAUUUAAAGUCGACUAAUUAUUCCCUAGAGCUCUCGCCGCCUCUGGUCUUCGCAUCUCCCCUCUCUCUCCUCUCUCUCUUUGGCGCCUCGUCUUCGUGAAUCGAUCGAUCGAUCUCCGUCGCAAUCGGAGGUAACGCCUCGAUCUUUUGCCUCGCAUUUUUUGCUAAUUUUUCCGUGGAUUUUUUGGUGAAAAAACCCGAUUUUUUCACGCCGAUCCCGGUUUCUGGAAGGUUUUUGCGCCAUCGGUGCGUCAAAACCCUAGAUUUUGGGUCCUGCUUGGAGCCGGCGCGGUGGAUCUCGUCCGUCGAGUAAACGAGGGUUUGGUUUGUGGCUUUGUGCCGUUGUUUCGUUUUUCUUUGGUUUGAUUGCGUUUGGGGUGUAAUCGACGAGGAAUUCGUCUUGUUGCUGUGGUUUAGAUCCGUGAUGUGUGAUAAAGGGGGUUCUUUGGUGGGAUUUUAGGGUUUUUUCUUUGGGGUAAUGGUUGUUGAUUUAUGUGGUUCUUUUGUGAUGAUUUAGGGUUUGGAGCCCCCGGUGAUGCGAUGUCGUCUCUCAGUAGGGAGCUGGUUUUCUUGAUUCUGCAGUUCCUCGAUGAAGAGAAGUUCAAGGAGACCGUCCACAAGUGGGUUUCGAUCAUUGGCCCUCGAUUUCUUCAUCUCUUUAUUUUCUCGCUUUGAUUUUGGAUGUUGAAUAUGAAAUGUUAAAACACAGUUAUAAUGAUUAUUUAACAUUUAACAUACUACUUACACUGUGAUGUCCUGAGUUCAAAUCCUAUAAGGUUCCUAAUGUUAUUUAAUUUUCUCCCAUGUAAUUCUAGUUCGCGUUUUGAGAUUGUCAAUAUGUCUUAAGCUGAGGCACGGCGGGAAGCCUCGAAUAAAAGAUAGUAAAACACCGUUCGCUAGCAAAUUAAGCAUUUUAACGGGAAAAAAAAAAGAUUAUGUACGACGUCGGAGUGAAUUAGUUCUAAUUUUAUGUCUUUUUCCAGGCUUGAGCAAGAAUCAGGCUUCUACUUCAAUAUGAAGUAUUUCGAGGAAGAGGUGCAGAAUGGGAACUGGGACGAAGUGGAGCGGUAUCUUGGCGGCUUCACUAAGGUCGACGAUAACCGGUAUUCGAUGAAGAUCUUCUUUGAAAUUCGGAAGCAGAAGUAUCUUGAGGCCCUGGAUAAGUAAGGAAGAGACUCGAACUUCUCUCGUAUACUAGAAUUUUACUUCUCGAAAUAUGUGGCAAGCGUUGAUUGGACGUCUUUAAUUGUAGGCAUGAUCGGGCAAAGGCGGUUGAGAUUCUCGUGAAGGACUUGAAAGUUUUUGCAUCUUUUAAUGAGGAGUUAUUCAAGGAAAUUACACAGCUUUUGACUUUAGAGAACUUUAGGUAUCCGAUGGUAAAAUUUCCUUUAUUACAUAUGUUGCAGUAGAUGAAUGGUUGAUGCAUGACGUUGUACUAUACUGUUUCAGAGAAAAUGAACAGCUUUCCAAGUAUGGCGAUACAAAGUCGGCAAGAUUGAUAAUGCUUGUUGAGCUCAAGAAACUGAUCGAGGCAAAUCCUCUCUUCCGCGAUAAAUUGCAGUUUCCUAAUUUAAAGAACUCUAGACUGCGUACUCUUAUCAACCAGAGGUAAAACUGGAAAUGAACUUGCUAAAGUUCGUUCUUUUUUUUUUUUUAAAGAAAAAAAUUUAAAUGAUGGUAGUUUUGCAGUUUCAUGUAACUUUAUCCCUUUGCAGGGACUAACAAUUUACAUGCAGGCAAUUGUUUUUAUUGUUUCUUAUUGUUUUGUUCAUACUGGUUCUGGUAACAAACUUUUACCCUUCAUUUCUGUGACGGAGUUACAUAUAGAGGAUGCAUACGAGGACAAGUUUGUCGAAGUUCCUUUUUACACCCGUAAUUUCUAUUUGGAAAGAAUAUACUGCAUUUGAGGAUGAUAUUAUAUACUUACAUACAAACUGAUAUGCUCUUAUAUAUUAUACUCGAUACUCGAUGGGGAAAUAAAUAUGUUGUUUGAGCUAUUCGCCUUAUAUUACAUGGACAUAGUCAAAAGGUUAGAUAGGUUUCUUCAGAAUCAUACAUAGUUUGAUGUUCAAGAAAGUAGGUUGGCCUUUGUCAGCGUAGAUCUCAAGUUAGCUGAAAAGGCUCAUUUAUUAAUUGUCCACCCAGUGCAAUUUUGUCUUGUUUCUCAUUUGAACCAACUUCCUCCAACUUCCUUUUUUGGUUUAACUUUUGUAUCUCGAAGAUCCUAGUUUUAUUUGACCGACUGUCCCUAUGCAGGUGACAAAGGGCUUAAAGCUUGGUCCCCGAGGCCCCAAAUUCGAAGUCUAGUUAUUUUAUAUUUUUAGCUAAGUUCAUUUGUUAAAAAAUGAACAAAGCGGGUAGCAUGCUAUCUUUCUCUCUUUUUCUCAAACAAGGAGGAUUCUAGCUCUAUUUGAUGUUACGAGACUCGAGUUUUUAAAUGUAGAUCUUUGGCUUAGUUGUGGUUGUAUUGCUUAUUUUUUUCUACCAUUAGAAAUUUUUUAAUUCAAUGUAUUGGAAACCAUAUGAUCUCUAAGUGGGGGCUUAAUAUUCUUACUUAAUCUGUGGCAGCUUAAACUGGCAGCACCAGCUGUGCAAAAAUCCUAGGUCAAAUCCUGAUAUUAAGACCCUUUUUGUUGAUCAUUCUUGCGGACAACCGAAUGGUGCCCACGCUCCGUCAACUGCAAGCAAUCCGCUACUUGGCUCUAUGCCUAAAGCAGGAGGUUUUCCUCCGUUGGGUGCACACGUAAUUAACCUGAAUUUUUAUCUAAAAAUGUUUUCUUCUUUUAAGAUACUUAUCUCAUGAACUUUGGUUAUGGUUGUUUCAGCCUUUCCAACCUACACCAACACCAGUUCCUACACCCCUCGCUGGUUGGAUGUCUAACUCUUCGGCUGUAACUCAUCCUGCUGUCUCUGGUGGGGCUAUUGGACUUGGCGCUCCAACGAACCCUGGUAUUUUAAUUUUUCUAUAUUUGUUAAUUUCAUCUGGUAGUCCUGAUUCUUGGUUUAACUUUUAAAUGUUAUCGUCCUUUUUUUUAGCUGCAAUAUUGAAGCAUCCCAGAACACCAAAUACCAACCCUGUUAUGGAUUAUCCUUCAGCUGAUUCUGAACAUGUAUCCAAACGACCUAGGCCCAUUGGAAUUUCUGAUGAGGUAUAUGCGACGUCUGCUUCAUUUCCUUAUGCCAUCUUUAUCUCAUCCAGCUUAAUACGUCUUUUUUAAGCCAUUCUAAUGGUACUUUUGAUGAUUCAUCAUUUAACACAGGUUAAUCUACCAGUGAAUAUAAUGCCAGUAACCUAUCCCCAGAGUCAUAGUCAAUCUAUGUACACGACAGAUGACUUGCCCAAAACUGUUGCAAGAGCCCUAAAUCAGGGAUCAACUCCUAUGAGCAUGGAUUUUCAUCCGUUGCAGCAGACUCUACUUCUUGGUAGACUUUCCCUCAUCAACUCGAUCAUUGUUUCAUUUCUGUUUUGAUUUAUUUGAAUCAUUCUUAUCUGUUGCUUCAUACCGGCAUUCGUGUUCUGUUUUAGUCGGUACGAACGUGGGUGACAUAGGGUUGUGGGAUGUCGGUACCAGGGAGAGAUUGGUUUCAAGGAAUUUCAAGGUCUGGGAGCUUGGAAAAUGUUCCCUGACCCUCCAGGUUAGUUCCUAAGCGAGGCGAUUUGUGGUUGCACAAUGACUUUCUUGUACAUCUUGUACAUUUAAAUCAAUAAUUGAAAUUGAUAAAUUAUAGGCCACUCUAGUUAAGGAUCCUGGUGUGUCAGUUAACCGUGUAAUAUGGAGUUCGGAUGGCUCGUUAUUUGGUAAGCUUAUACAAGUCAAAAAUCUCUUUUACCUCCCAUUUUCCUACAACUGUUGCAUAGUAAUACUUCCUCACUGUUACAGGUGUUGCUUAUUCGAGGCAUAUCGUACAAAUAUAUUCUUAUCACGGUGGUGAUGAGACUAGACAGCACUUAGAGGUUUGAUUCCUCAACAUUUUCUGCUUGUCAAAUAGACGGUUACUCUGUGGAUUUGAUACAUUCUGCCAUGUUAACUGCAGAUUGAUGCACAUACUGGGGGUGUCAACGACAUUGCAUUUGCUAUUCCCAAUAAGCAGCUGUGCAUUAUAACCUGUGGUGAUGACAAGACAAUUAAGGUAUGCUUCUGAUGCAUGGAUCUCUUGGAUGUAUAUCUCGCUUAUGCUUACAGUAAUUGAUAUAUUCUUCUGCAAUAUUGUAGGUGUGGGACGCGACUAGUGGAACUAAACAAUAUACCUUUGAAGGUCAUCAGGCACCUGUUUAUUCUGUUUGCCCACAUUACAAAGAGAGCAUUCAGGUAUGUACAUAGUUUUGACAUAUUUUAAGUAAAAUCAAACUAAAUUCUACAUUUUUAAGUGCCUGUUUUGCCUAGCUUGUAGAAAAUCUUCUCUACUCCAAGAAGCAAAAGCAAGGUAUUUGGCAAAUACGAAGUUUGGAGCUUUUGCUAUGGCACGAAGUUUAUAUGGGCUGCCAGUCCCCGAAAGCAAAAGCUCUAACUUUCAGAAUUUUCUUUUGCCGUAGUGGGAAGCUGUAAAAGGACUUUUUUGGGAAAGCUAUUAAUCUGUUAUUGAACAACUAACUUGAACAACAUUUUUGCAAGCUCCAUCCGGGCCUCCUUGGCCCUUGAUUUGUAAUAUUGCUAUAUUAAGAUGCCUUAAUAGUGCCGUAUUAACUUUUUUUCUGUAAUUUUUUUUUGCAGUUCAUUUUUUCAACUGCAUUAGAUGGAAAGAUCAAGGCAUGGUUAUAUGACAAUGCGGGAUCUAGAGUGGAUUAUGAUGCUCCUGGACAUUGGUGUACUACAAUGGCUUAUAGCGCUGAUGGUUCCAGGUUCAUAUUCCUGAUGUGGCACUUAUUUAUGCAGCCAGAUGUCGGUGCUUCUGUAUCCGUAUUGACUCAUCUUUAUGCUUAUUCAUUGCAGGCUCUUCUCCUGUGGGACAAGCAAAGACGGAGAAUCAUACAUUGUCGAGUGGAAUGAGAGUGAAGGAGCCGUAAAGAGAACAUACCAUGGGUUUAGAAAACGAUCUUUGGGUGUUGUGCAGUUUGAUACCACUAAGAACCGGUUUUUGGCUGCUGGCGAUGAGUUCUUAAUCAAGUUAUGGGAUAUGGAUAACACUAAUCUUUUGACAACUAUUGAUGCUGAUGGUGGCCUACCGGUAUUUGUAGUUUUUUUUUUUUUUUUUUUGCUUUUUUUGUGGAAAAUUUACUUGUGAUAUUUUGCAUGGAAAGUAGUAAAAAAUAACCUUUCUUCCUCUGUUAUUAGGCGAGUCCGCGGAUACGCUUUAACAAGGACGGUACAUUGUUGGCUGUUUCCACUCAUGAUAAUGGGAUUAAGAUCUUGGCAAAUGCCGAUGGGCUUCGUCUGCUGCGUACGUUUGACAACCGUUCUUUUGAUCCAUCCAGGACUCUUUCAGAAGCAGUGUCCAAGGUAACGCAUUGUUAGUACUAUAAUCAUUAAAUUGGGCUUGACCUAAGAUUUAGUGAAAUAUAACUUAGUCUGUUCUCUAUGAGCAGCCCAUAGUAAGUCCAAUAACUGCUGCUGCUGCCGCUGCCGCUGCCGCCGCUGCUGCUGUUGCAACUAGUUCAGGAAUGGCAGAUAGAGCUGCUCCUUCUAUGACUAUUGCUGAGAUGGUAUGUGGAUGUCCGUCUUAAUUUUUCUAAAUAGUUAAUGUUUUCGUAAUCUCUUCUUAUGCACUAAGUAUAAACCAUUUUUGAUAGAACGGGGACAGCCGAAACUUGGUGGACGUAAAGCCUAGAAUAGCUGAUGAGUCAAUCGAUAAAUCAAAGAUCUGGAAGCUUACUGAAAUCAGUGAACCGACUAAGUGUAGAUCUCUAAGGCUCGUGGAUAAUUUGAGGACAAGCAAGGUAAUGCUUCUUUGAUGGGUUUUCUGUUCCUAUUAUCCUUAUAAUCUGUGACUUUUGGAUGUCCAUUUCCUGUGCAUCAAAUACAUACAGUAACAAAAGUUUUAAAUUUAAAAGCAGUCCCAUUGUUCUCAAUCUAGAUGAAAAAUUCCUAGCAAUGCUCUAUUAAUUUGGUAUAUUCCAAAAUCCAAACCGUUGGUAGAACCAAACUCCUUGUACCUAUUAUUAUAUUGUCAACUUUGAGACCCUGUUUGAUUUUCAGGUAAAGGAGUACCAAAAUCUAUGAGUUUUAAUUUCUGCUCACUCCAAAUAGUUGAGAUCAUUUCUAAUAAUAUGUAUCUUGUCUUCCAUAUUAAUGUCGUAACUCGUAACAUGGAUUUUGAUUUCUGACUGAGAAUACGGUAUUUUCUUUUCAGUUUUUAUGCCACCAGGAACUUCAGUCUUAGCUUGAAAAAAGUUCUUUCAUAUCGUCUCAUAAACUAUCUUUUAACUGCAGAUCUCAAGAUUGAUUUAUACAAAUUCUGGUGUCGCAAUCUUGGCUUUAGCAUCAAAUGCUGUCCAUCUGCUUUGGAAGUGGCCCCGUAAUGAGCGAAAUUCAACUGGAAAGGUGAACCUUUUACUGCUCAUAUAUUUCUUUUUUAUGCAACAAGCUUAACAAGUUUGUAAAGCCGGCAUAAAUUAUGACUUUUUUUUUCCCCCUUCCUAUGGCCUCUCUUUGUAGGCAACUGCAAGUAUUCCUCCCCAACUAUGGCAACCACCAAGUGGCAUUUUGAUGACUAAUGACAUAACUGAUGUGAAUCCUGAGGAAUCAGUUCCGUGCUUUGCUUUGUCGAAGAACGAUUCGUAUGUCAUGUCUGCUUCAGGUGGAAAAAUUUCGUUGUUCAACAUGAUGACAUUUAAGGUAGGUGUAUAUAUUGUAUAUUUAAUAUGUAAAUUUACUAAGGUAUAUAAUGGUAAAACAUCUCACUACAAAAAUAUCGCUCUUUCAUUUUUGCUUGACGAGUGCAGACAAUGACGACAUUCAUGCCUCCACCGCCGGCGGCAACAUUUCUUGCCUUCCACCCUCAAGACAAUAAUAUAAUUGCCAUAGGAAUGGAGGAUUCUACAAUCCAAAUCUACAAUGUGCGAGUUGAUGAGGUAUUAUUAUAUACUAUCUAACCAGCGAGUUUCGAUAUAAUUGCUUGGCAGAUAAUCGCCUGGAAUAAACGAACCUACCUAUCCUUCUUUUUUGCAGGUUAAGAGCAAACUUAAAGGGCACUCGAAGAGAAUUACGGGUCUUGCAUUCUCGAAUGUGUUGAAUGUGCUGGUCUCUUCUGGAGCUGAUGCUCAGGUUCUUGAGUGAACUUUCCUUCAGUCAAAUGAGCACGAACUAGAAUCACUUUUCAAUCUAGUCGUAGAUUAUAGUACUCUUCUGUAAAUUGUGUGGUUAGUUUCUUACAGAAUAUACAUGUCUUUUUGCCGUAGAUAUGUGUGUGGGGCACUGAUGGGUGGGAGAAGCAAAGAAGCAGGUUUUUGCAGAUUCCUUCUGGGAGUGCCACAACAAAUAAUUCAGAUACACGGGUUCAGUUCCAUCAAGAUCAAAUACACUUUCUCGCUGUCCAUGAGACCCAAAUCGCUAUAUAUGAGACAACUAAGCUAGAGUGUGUGCACCAGGUAAUUUUUUACCCUUACAGGUUUACGAUAUGAACUACUUAGUUUCUGUUUGGCUAAUUGACGGCCUCUUUGUUGUUCAGUGGUUCACUCGUGAGAACACUGCGCCAAUUUCGCACGCCACAUUCUCGUGCGAUAGUCAGCUGAUCUACGCUAGCCUUCUCGAUGCCACCGUGUGCAUAUUUUCUGCCUUGGGCUUAAAAUUGCGGUGCCGAAUUCUUCCAGCUGCUUAUCUCCCACCGAAUCUCAGGUACUUUGUUUGAAAAUUUUGGCUUGUGGAGUCGUCCUGCCAAAUGGCUGGUUUUUUAAAACCACCACUUGCUGAUUCAUCUGCUGCAUCUUCCUAGCACGUCCGUCCAUCCGCUUGUGAUCGCGGCUCAUCCAUCGGAACCGAACCAGUUUGCAUUAGGGCUGACAGAUGGUGGUGUCCAUGUGUUGGAGCCGCUAGAAUCCGAAGGGAAAUGGGGAGUUCCUCCGCCCACAGAGAACAGCUCCACAGGCAGCGUGCCCGAACCGGCGCCCGCUGGUGCCUCAACCUCUGAUCAACCACAGAGAUGAUCGAAGAGAGGCGGAACUUUUUUAACCCCUUCUAGUUUUACCCUUCAGAGUAACUAACCGAGGUAUGCCGCCAAAUUGCUUUUCUUUCCCUUUUUUUGGCUUAAUUACACUCUAUUACACCAUAGUUGGUACGUCUUUUUAUACUUUCUACACUAUAUAUAUAUAUAUAUUUUUUCCGAAGGUAUCAGUAUAUUAUUAUAUUUUAUCAAUCUCUACACUGUAUUUUAAACUUAUUUUUCUUUUUCUAUCUUCUAAUAUUUUCGUUUCUCAUAGAUAUCACUAAACUAUUUUUUUUCUCGCUAAUCUCUUCAUUUCUAUUAAUAAACCUACAUUACCAUUGAUAAAUCUAUUCUGAAACCUAGCAAUCGUAUUAAAAAGCACUGACUAAAUAAUGGAAAAAAAUAUAAAACAAAUCUUCAUGGUAGACUCAUUGAAAACUUCUAUUAAAUUAUUUUCAACUAUUAUUUUGUCGGUUUUAUGCAUUUUGUUACUUUUUUUUUUUUUAGUAAAAUGAGCUGAAUAUAUGUUCUACCACUUUAAAUCAGUAUUUUUUAAUAAUUUUUAUUUAAAAUUAUAGAUUUAUUGUCUACAUUAUAGAAAAUGAAAAGAAAAAAAAACCUAUAGAGUACAGCGUAGUAAAUAGUGUAAUUAAGUCUUUGUUUUUUAAAUUUUAUAUCAGCAAAAUAAUAAUUUAAUAAUAAUUACUUUUAUUUCUUCAAAUGUGCAGAUGGACCUUGAAAUUAUGUAAUAGCCUCUCAAAAUAGCAGGUUGUAGAUGACAAAAAGAUGCUCACAUAGUAAGUUCAGCUGUGUCUUAUUGUGCUUGUUGGCCUGGUAUCUCUUCAUGUAUCGCGGCCGGCGAAGAAAAUGUUUGGCAACAUUGUUUACAUUAUUCUGUUUGGUUCCUGCAAAAGAGUAAAGUCUCCUUCGACGCGGAGGAGAAUACUAUAACAUGAACAUGGAGUUUGUCUUAAGAAUGUAAUUUCUCAUUUUCUAUCGCAAAAGUGUUGUUCAUUUCUCAUCUUUUAAGCUCUUUUUGGUUUAUCUCUCUAGGACUUACCUUGGCAAGUUGAAAUGAGCUUCAUAGUCUCCAAAAAGCAGAACCUUCAGUACAGUUUCUGCUCCUGCUGCUGCUCCUGCUCCUGCUCCUGCUGCAGCUUAAAGCUAUUUGGAGGGCUUUAUCACUAAACCCUAAUUUAUCUAAACUCUGCAUAGAUUGAUUUAAGUUGGUCGUUUGCAAAUUUGGUGUGUUCUUUUAUGCCUUUUAGGUUAACUGAUGUUAAUUGGAUCUUCUGAAAAUAGGAUGUGUACACUUCAGUUACAUUCCCUUCCAGAGUAUGUUAAUUUGGCAGUUGAUGAAUUCAUAUUCUAAAACUAUACACACAAAUUCUAGUCUAGUAUGGAAUUAUAGAAUCCUUUCAUAGAACUCACAUAAAUAAAAUUAGGGAGGGAGCACCUCAAAUAAAUAAAUGAAUAAAUAAAAAGCAUGAAAAUAUCCACAGUAAAAAUAUCUUAGGCUAAAUGGUAACAUAAUCCUAUAUAUACAGGGCAACAAAAAUAAGCGAGAUAGCAAGCAAAAAAAAAUUAACAAGGUAAGGCACCCCUCCCCUCUCUCUCACUUCCCCUCUCUCUCUCUCUCUCGGCCAUGGCGGCGGCGGCGGCGACGUUCUCCACCGACUUAGCCACCGCCUUCUUCGGCGCGGCGCCGGAGCUUCGCCGCGCUCCGCCUCCGAUCCCUCCCUCUCCUCUCCCUCCGCCCCCGGCCCCCCGCCACCGUCGCCGCCGCGCGCUCCUCCGUGCUCGGCUCCGGCCGCCGAUCGCCGGCGCGAGGGUUCGCCGCCUCAGCCUCAGCCUCCGCCGGCGCGGCGACGGAUGAGGGCGCCGACGUCCUGACGAGGGUUCCGCCCGACGACCGCGUACCCGCCACCAUCAUCACCGGGUUCUUGGGCUCCGGGAAGGUGAGAAAACAAGCUAAUUGGAUUCUGUGUUCUGUGCUCUAUCACAACUUACUUUUGAUUUUACUAUCGAAUCUCGAUAUAUGAUGUAUCCAAACUCUUUGGAAAGUUUCGACAUCUCUGCCUGAAAUGAUUUCAGCAAUUACAAUUACAGCUGUUUGUUUGGCUCCGCGCAUUUGGAAGCACUGCGGAUGCCACUGUUUUUGAUUAAAUAUAUCAUUCAACCAUUUAUGUUGGGUGUUGAGUUUAUGGUUAAUGUAUAGGAAAUGAUCAGAUAGUCACUCCUGCAACUUUAGGAAGCAAAAAAAAAAAAGAAAGAAAAAUCUGGGAAUAAAUGCCUAAAAGCCUCAAUUUACUCGACAUUUUUACGUGGAAUAAAUGAGUGGUCUUUUUAUUGUAUUAUUACUACAUAUCUAGAGCUGGAAGAGAAGAUGAUAAUUUUGUAGGUAAUCCUAUCUAAUGUCUUCUAAGUUGAACUCCAUCUUGAUGCCUAUGUGGCAAUUGGUGGCUUUUUAAUAUUCAGUAGAUAAUUUCCAACAUGUUAGAAUGUUCCAUAUAUAUAUAUAUAUAUAUAUAUAUAUAUGAGCAGAGCUACUAUGCUAUCGGAAGCGUAGAGAAUCUGAUGCUUCCGAUUUUUGGCCGUUAGAUCAGCCCUUUUAAUCAUUUUUAACCUUUGGAUUAAUACUAUUACCCUGUGGGGACCACUUAACCCUAGGGGUACUACUCAACCCUGAGGGGAACGCAAUCAUCCCAACCGUAUAAUUUUUAAUCCAAGGGUCAAAAUAUCGGAAGCAUCAAAUGCUCUAUACUUUCGAUAGCAUAGUAGCUCUACACUAUAUAUAUAUAUAUAUAUAUAUAUGCUACUAUACUAUCAAUAGUACCAAGUCCUUGGUACUAUUGAGUUUUCGGCCGUUAGAUGAAAGGAUGUGCGGUUAGGAUGAUAGUGGUCCCCUAGGGUUGAGUGGGUGGGUNAUAUAUGAGUCCGACUACUAUACUAUCGAUAGUACCAAGCCCUUGGUACUAUUGAGUUUUCUACCGUUAGAUCUACCCUUUGAUCAUUUCCACCCGUUAGAUUAUACUAUUAAACCAACCACCCACCCACUCAACCCUAGGGGACCACUAUCAUCCUAACCGCACAUCCUUUCAUCUAACGGCCGAAAACUCAAUAGUACCAAGGACUUGGUACUAUUGAUAGUAUAGUAGCAUAUAUAUAUAUAUAUAUAUAUAUAGUGUAGAGCUACUAUGCUAUCGAAAGUAUAGAGCAUUUGAUGCUUCCGAUAUUUUGACCCUUGGAUUAAAAAUUAUACGGUUGGGAUGAUUGCGUUCCCCUCAGGGUUGAGUAGUACCCCUAGGGUUAAGUGGUCCCCACAGGGUAAUAGUAUUAAUCCAAAGGUUAAAAAUGAUUAAAAGGGCUGAUCUAACGGCCAAAAAUCGGAAGCAUCAGAUUCUCUACGCUUCCGAUAGCAUAGUAGCUCUGCUCAUAUAUAUAUAUAUAUAUAUAUAUAUAUACUGCUUAUGUUUUUAUUUGGAUUUUUUUUUUUCAUGAACAGACGACUUUGUUGAAUCAUAUCUUGACAGCCGAGCAUGGAAAACGCAUAGCAGUUAUCGAAAACGAGGUAUGUUAUUUUUUUUUUGAAGUUUCAUGAACUAUGCUUGUAAUUGGCUGGGCUGCUGAUGACUGAAAUGUGCACUAGCAAAGUUUGCAUUGAUAUCUGUCGGUGAAUGCAUAUAUGAACGGGUAUUUGCAAUAAAAGGGUCGAUUCUCGAUUCAUGUUUUCUUUCUACUCUCAUGUACUUUUGCUGUGAUAUUUGGUAUAUUUGUGAUUUCCCAUGUUACGAUACCAGAUGGUUUAUUUAUCUUCGUCUCACUCUAUUGUUCUCUUACAGUUCGGAGAAAUUGAUAUAGAUGGUUCUCUUGUUGCCGCAAAAACUACUGGAGUUGAAGAUAUCAUUAUGCUCAAUAAUGGUUGCCUUUGCUGUACCGUGAGGGGCGAUCUUGUCCGAAUGAUUGGUGAAUUGGUUGAUAAGAAGAAGGGAAAGUUUGAUCACAUUGUGAUAGAAACUACAGGUUGUGGGUCUAUAGAAUUUUUUUUUUUGGCUAAAAUUACGUAAUCUAGGUCCUCAUAGUAGAUAACUUUCUUUCCCUUUUUUCCUCUGAUUCUCUUAAUGCAUAUAAUGUCGUCUCUUGGUAACAUGUGUUUUGUAUGUUAGGAUAACUGAAGCCAUUAGCUUUUUAUUUUCACACUUGUUUAGCUAUGUUUCGCAGCUUCUCUUGUCAUCCAAUGUUAUAUUUGGAUACUGCUAUCAAUCAGUAGUAGAGUGCAAGUGCAUUCUUAAACUGGGCAAUUAUAGCACUGAAAAAGGGGGAGAAAAAAACACUAUAUGACAAGAUAUAAGUUGUAGCACAGAAAUGAAUGUAACAACCAAAAAUGGAAUUAAGUUGUUAACAAACUAGGUAGCAGCAAUAGCAGUUAGUUCUGGAAGUGAAUUAUGAAGACAAUUAACACAAUGAAAGUGCAAAAAAAAUUGUAUUUAAUUGUUAAAUCUCAGGUCACAAAUAACAAGGAAGCGAAUAUGUUACCCUGGCUGUCCUUGUAUUUCAACUAUUUGUAUCUUCAAAUUAGCUUUCAAACUUGUCUAUUGUAGGGCUCAGUCUAACUGCUAGCAGUGCUAAAUGGUCAUUACUGAUGCAUGAGUCAAAAAAAUUCAAUGAAUUAGGAUCUUAAUCCUGCUAUUCUUUUCCCCUUAGAACCCAACUUCCUUAUUCAAGGAUCUUAUUGUUUACCAAAAUGGUCUGAAAUGGCACUUUUAUUUUCCUUGGUGAUGUUGGUGAUCCAACACAUAUUAGAUUUGACAGUCAAUGCCAUUCGUAUGUACUCUGCAUAGAUCCUUCCAAGAACUCACAGAGACUCGACUGAAUCCUUUCUUUGUUCUAGUUGACCUUUUACUUGCUUUUGGGCUUUGUUUAUACUCUCUUAUCCUUUUUUUACGAGAUUUUCAGGUUUAGCCAACCCAGCACCUAUUAUCCAGACAUUUUAUGCGGAGGAUAAAAUAUUCAACGAUGUCAAGCUGGAUGGUGUUGUAACUUUGGUUGAUGCGAAGCAUGCGGGUUUUCAUUUGGAUGAGAUAAAGCCCAAAGGUGUAGUCAACGAGGCUGUUGAGCAAAUUGCGUAUGCUGACAGAAUUAUAGUGAACAAGGUGAUGUUUAUUUUCUGCUUGAAGUUAAUUAUUAUAGCAGGUGGUCAUUCAGAUGAAAUAGUUGCUGUUAAACAUCCACCUCAUGAUUUUGAAUUACCGUUUGUUGGGAUGUCAGGCCAGUCUUUUAUUACGGGAUUCGCUUUUGGCGAUUCCAUGAAUAUGUUAUUAUUAGAUUCUGUAUAACCUUUUGUUCUAUAUUGAUCUAGGUGCUAUCAAGCAAGAGUUUAUCUUGUCUGCUGUAACAUUCCUCUGACAAAAGUAAAAUUGCAAAAGAUUCUUCUGUGCUUUGAAAGUUGUUUGCUCGAUGGUGGUCCUAAAAGUCGUCAAUUUUUUACUUCAUAUUUCCAAUUCGUGUUACUUCAAUUACCACUAUUUAGUUCUCAUAAUUGAGGUUCUGAAAAUACCAGAUUUAUGGAGAGCUUAAAAAUUCAACAGUUCAAUUUAUACAUCAUGAUUUGUAUGGGGCAUGGUGUUUAAACAAUGCUCAACAAUGUCCAGUCCACAUCAUUGUGUUGUGCUGUUCAACUGUGAGGUGCUGUGAUCACAUACUAUGACUAAGCAAAAUAUAUCGAUGAAGUCAUUUUGACCGGAUGUUUUUCAAGUUUCAACUUUGAACAAGGAACACUGGAUUAGAUAAAAGAAUAUUCCAGUGAGUUGCCUAUAAUCAUGAGAACUGAAGUCACAUUUCUACAGAAAAAUAUAGUAGUAAGUGACCUGCUGCAGUUCUAGUCUUUGUUCCUGCUUGAACUAUUACUGUUCAAAAUUUUUGUCGAUUCAUAUCUUCGCUUUUUUGGCUCUCAUGAUUCUGUGUUAGGCUCUUUUUGAAGUCUCUAACACUGGCUAACUGGCUAUGUAAUCAAGGACUAAUGGUUUGUUUUUUUUUGGGUAUGUGUAGACUGACCUUGUUGGCGAAUCCGAAGUCUCUUCAUUGGUCCAGCGGAUAAGGGUAAAGCUAGAGCUUCCACUGGCUUAUACUUCUUGUCAUUGCCUUAUGUGGUACUAAUCCUCUUGCUUUGAUGGAUUGCAGAAAAUAAAUCGCAUGGCUCAUUUAAAACGGGCAGAGUAUGGUAGAGUUGAUUUGGAUUAUGUUCUUGGGAUCGGAGGCUUUGAUCUGGAGAGGUUCAUGUCCUCCUUUUUUAAUAACUCUUUUGCUGUAGGAUUGCUCUAACUUUGUGACAUGUGCAAUAUCCACAUACUGGUGGUGAUAACCAAAAUAUUUGACUUGAGGAUACUUGCUGUUACUCUUGUUGACGCAUGCAUAUCAUACAUCUUCAACAAUUUACAUCAUAGAUGUCCAGUUCUUUCAGUAGAAAAGGUGUCCUUCGCUUUGAUGAUUAUUAUAAUUCUAGUUUGUAAAUGUAGCAGUCGAGUUCCGCAUUUAGGUAAAACAGGAUGAUAUACUAUGGCCUCAUUUGGCAUUUGUUUGUUUUUUAUUUGUUUAAAUAAAUUUUUAUAUCAAAAAGUUUAGGAGUGGACAAUGUAUUGAUUGCAACCAUUUCAACCGAAAUGUUUACUUGGCAACAAAAUGUAAAAAUUUGAAAGCAAAACUUUUUUUCCUUCCAAAAUGUUUUUAAACAAGUUAUCAUCUAUUACUUAGCCAGAUGUAUUGUAAACUAGUCAAGAAAAGAAAGUCUUUCUUCCAACACAUCAAAUUAUAUAGAAUUAGUGUUUAAAAACAUACAAUACAAACACGAUACCAAAAGAGGUCUAAGUUUUUUAUUAUGUGGGCAAGGUGAUUGAUUCGUUGACCUUUUCUUCUCAGGAUUGAGAGUGUUGUUAAUUCUGAAGGUUCACAUGAAGACCACCAUGAGCACAAGCACGAUCAUGACCAUCAUCACCACGAGCAUCAUGGCCAUGAACAUGGUACGUCCAAUUUAGUUAUUUUGUCCUGCUAACUUCUAGGCAUUACAAGCAAAGAUGAGGGGGACGAAGAUUUAAGUUGGGAAACUUCAUUACUUGAAACAACAGUCUCGAUUCAAUUCAAGGCAAGAAAUAAGUGGCCAUCAUAGUUUAUAGGAGAAUAGAAGAGUUAAUGUGAAUACGACUCUGAAACACGGUAGGCGACUAAUGUAAUUUCAUUAAAUAAAUCAUCUUGGAAGUCGAAAAUACUGUAAAACACCGGGACUUUCUAGAGGAUAAUUUACAGAAAAUGGCAGCAGGUAUUGACUGGCUAUAAUAGUUGAAAUUGGGGCUGGUUUUGGAGAGCUUUAUAGCCAGACACCUUUUGGUUAGUUCUCUAAUGGACUGAUUCAGUAGACUAUACUGUCUAUUGAAGAGCAACAAAAUUGCUCAUGUUAUCCAUAGUUCUUUAAGCACUUCUACGUAUUGAAAGGUGAGGAAAACAUUUGUUACAGAUCAUCAUGAUGAUUCCCAUGCGCAUGAUCAUACCCACGAUCCUGGUGUGUCUUCUGUGAGCAUUGUUUGUGAAGGGAACCUGGAUCUCGACAAGGUCUUCUUCUAAACCUUUCUAUUUCUUUGCUGCUUACUUUUUGUAACUUUCUUAUGAGGUAAUCUUGUGGUUCAACUGUUAUGCUGCAUACUGGAAGGUAUGAAGCUUAUUUUGUUCUACCAAAUCUACUGCAGGCCAAUAUGUGGCUGGGAACAUUAUUAAUGGAGCGCAGCGAUGACAUAUAUCGGAUGAAAGGACUUCUCUCUGUUAAUGGCAUGCCCGAGAGAUUCGUCUUUCAGGUGAGUAUCAUUAUUUGUUUUUGUAGUCUGUCAUAUUAUCAGUUGCCUCUUAGUAGAAUUUGUACGGAGAAGCAGUUUUAAUUUCCUCGAGUACAUAAACCUCUUUGACUGUGCUUUAUCAUGCACAUGCUCAUCUAAAGAAGAACUCAAAUUACUUUGUGGUAGUAUUGUUGGCAUUUUUCUGCACAUUAUGAUUUAACAAUUUCUUUUCCUCUUCAAGCCUUGUUUUUAACAUUCUCCAAACUAUUUCUUCUCCUCUUCACUCAGGUUGAGCUGAACUUACUAUUUCACUUCAUUUUAAUAUGUUUUUCCCUUUCGUAUUCUCCGACAGGGAGUUCACGACAUUUUCCAGGGAUCUCCUGAUCGAUUGUGGGGCCCGGAAGAACCGAGAAUCAACAAGAUUGUAUUCAUUGGGAAGAAUCUCGACGCGAAAGAAUUGGAGAAGGGCUUCAAAGCUUGUUUGUUGUGACGAGGACACUAUACUCAAGACCUUCAAUAUAAUCCUUUUCAGGUAUUCUACUUACAUAUUCAUACAAAUUUAAAUGCACGAUUAUCACACCGAUUCAGGGGUUACAAACUGGAAAGAGGAAGUGUCGAGCGGGUAAUGUCUCUCCUAUUUUUCAUCUUUCUUGAUGACUAGAACAGUGCUAAAAAAAAAUGUAGUAGGCUAUAGUUGUCAUAUGAUGCUGAUUUUGAGGAUUUGUAAAAUGUUAUGCAGUAUCUGAGAGGACUUUUGUUAGACUAAAACAGAGAAUCUAGACUUAUUUAAAGGAUGUUAUGACCACUCUUUUGGCUUCAUAAUUCUAAAUUUAUGUAUAUAAUUCUCACCCUAGUUGUUGAGUUCUUUGUUCUUCUUUUUUUUUUCCUGUAAUUAGUUGCUGAAACUCACUAGAUCUCAGAAAAUAAUAUCAAAAUGUUUGAAUAUAUUACAGAAAAAAGGUCAUUUGUGAAUAUAAUGAUAGAAAUCCAAUCACAAUGGAAUAAUCCAAACUUGUUUCUGGUUUUGGCAUGACCUACAAUGAUCUAAGCAUACCAUGAAUAUGUACAUUUGGAUCUAAUAGAGGUUGUACUCGAAUCAGAGUAUAUCAUAAAUAUGUUUAUGGUAAAAAAGUAUAGAACUUCCUCAACUAUCACCAAUUUUAAUCUGACUACCUAAUUUUUUAAAAAAAUUAUUUUGCUAUCUAAUUUUUUUAUUUAUUUGAUUUGAGUCGGUUAAUGAUUCUUUAACUUCAAAAUUUUAAUGCGCAGUUUAUCUUUACGGACUCACUUAGCAUAUGUUAUGCAAUUUAUAUAACUCUAAAGUUAUUGAAAUAGGCAAAUUGUUUUAAUAUUGUAUUGGAUGAGCCAUCAAAUAUUUUAUGUCCAACAAAAUGAAAGGUUCAAGUGUUAAAAUCAAAAUUUUAAAUGGUUGGGUAGUCGAAUCAAAAAAUGGAGCUAAGUUUACCAUAAAUGAAUACCAUAAAUUCUGUUUCUUUUUAUUUGUUACCAAAAAAAAAACCUGCUGAAGCAGAUCCAUGAACUUCUUCUUUUGAAUUAAGCAAUUUUUAAUGUGUUAAACUAGGCAUGUAAACUUGUUUUUUUUUUUAAAUGAGUAACAGGGAUUGACCUCUAAAUAGGUCAAUUUCAAAAUAAUAUAUAGGGUAAAGAUUAUAAUAAGAACAUGAAGCCUAAUUAUCUAUUGAGACAAUGUUAGAAUGCCUUUUUGCACAAAUUAUUUUUAAUGAACCCACUUUGGGGUUGUAGCUACCCAAUUUAACCCUGCCCCAUCAUAAUCAUAUAAUAAAGCUUUUGAAAGAGACAUUUUAAAUGAAUAAGUCCAAGUUUAAUUAUUUGUGACAUUGACUCAUCCAUGGUUCUGCUAUCCAGCUAAUAUUAUCCUCUGCUUAUUUUCUUUUUCAGAAAAUAGCAAGUUUAGGACAAAAGUCACAAAACUUAGCUAUUGGAGUUUACUUAGUUUGCACUAUUUUGAAUGAUCUUGGGUUUGAUUUUCACCAAAGUUCAUAAAUUUGCAUUUUGAACAUUGUGCUGUUAUGAGUCCUUAAAGUUAUGGAUACAGUUUAAAGCGUCAUAUAAAUUUACCAAUACAUCAACUGUAUGUAUGAAACCAAAACAUUUUCUCUUUUUGGCCACACCCAUUGCCCUAGCCAGGAAUUGUGGUGACAUAUAGCAUGCACAACUAUGGUGGUCUACUACUCUACAUUUAACAUUUGACUUAAAAAUAGGCUAGAUUAUACAUAUAGUUCUCAAACUAUGAAGUAGGUGACAGUUUACGCGUUAAACUUUAAUUUAUUAUAAUUUCUUACUCGAACUUUCUGAAUUAUUGUAAUCAAGUCCCACAAUAUAAUUUAGCUGAUUAAACAGUGAUGUGUUGUUAAUGAAACAGUAAUAUAACAGUGUUGUGAUUGAUGACACGAUAAUAAAUAAGAUGUCGCAUUACUGUCGUAUCAGUGACACAUCAUUAUUCACUUAAAUUAUAUCAGACUGUGAGAUUUACUGAUCGUCCCUAGCGCAAGUGCAAAGAAUUUGGUGGUUGGUAUUCGAUGUCCCAAGUUCGAAUCCUAGUUGAUUCAUAUUUUCAGCUAAGUUUAUUUAUAAAAAAAAAAUAAACAAAACGGAUAGCAUGUUAUCUUUCUCCCUCUAAAUCAGACUAUGAGAUUUGAUUGUAAUAAUCUAUAAUAUUCAGGUGAGAAAUUGCAACAGAUUAGAACUAGAGAACCAAAGUGUCACCUACAUUAUAGUUUGAAAGCCAAAUAUAUUAUUUAGCCUUUAAAAUAUGAGUUGCUAUCAUCACAUCUAAAUUUGAACUUAAUUACUUAAGGAAUCAAAGAGCAUCAAGGCAUGUAGGGUUUUUGGUAUUUAAGACAAAUAGCUAGGUAUAUAAUUGAAAGUGGCCAAUCAACAUGACUCAAAUCUCAAGUUAGUCUUAUUUGAAGGCCACUUUGUCUCACCUUGUGUCUGCAAUGAUUUAUAACAUAUUUUGGUUAUUGUUAACUUCCAUUGAGGAAUUAAGUCAAACAUGAGUCUAGUUUAUUUGGAGAGUGAUUGAUUUUAGCAUAUAUAAUAAAUUAAUGUUUAAUUUAGGGUUCAGUGUUGGGGAAGGGAAAGAGAUGGGUUGCAAUUAAUUAGUUUGUCUUAGCUUGCCACAUUUUCUAUGCUUAUCCUUAUCUUUCAGUGAAUGACACUCACAGAUUUAGGUGUGAUGUCACCAUCUCUUACCAUACAAUCCUUAUAUCAUCUUCUCAUUUCUUUCUUUUUAUCAUUUCAUCUAAUCCAACAAUGAUUAUAUAAUAGUUGGUUAUUAUCUGAAAGAGUUUUUCUUAAUAAGAUCAGAAAUUCGAAUCCCCGUUAGUACGUUUCGAAGUAAAAAAAAAAAUUUAUUUGAACCCUUGACUUUUUGAGAUGAAAACAGUGUUAGUCUCUUAACUAAGAAGGAUUUUUUUUUUUUUCUGUGCCAUAGUUACAAUAUAUCAAAUUUGUAAUAUUCAAUUAAAUGUUUUCACGAUGCAUUAAGUACAAGAAAUUUGUUUUGAAGUAUCAUUUUAAUAUGUAAUUGCCAUAUUAUUCUUGAUUAGACUCUUUUGAUAUUCACUUAGCAUAAUACAGUUAGUUUGAGAUUAUAUUCUAUGUUAUAAUUAUUAUAAAGAAGAUCUUUCUAGAGCACAGGGGCACAAGAGAAACAAACAAAAAUGCCCUAAUUGUUCUCACCCUAUUCCAUUCCCCACCUCCCCAAUUUACUCUCUCUUUCUCUCUCUCUCUCUCUCUUCACAAGCUUCACAAAGCCAUUUUUAAAGCCCUUGGAAUGUACCAAUCAAAGUUAUCAAAUCCCUUCAUAUGGUCACAAUUAUUCCCCACCUAAAUUUACUCUCUAGUAAUAAAAGGAGAAUAAGAAGUAUCCAAGAAACUUACUCCUCCACAUGUCCUAUUGGAUAAGUACAAACCCUAUCCUACACUCCACAGUGCUCAGCUAAUAAGGAUAUGGCAACUCCCAACUGUUAACCCCUCUCUCUCUCUCUCUCUCUCUCUCUUCAAAGCAGGACUAAAUGUGCUACAACCACCUCACUUUUGCAAGCUAACUUCUUUAAUUUUAGUAAGCAAGCUAUAAUAUAAAUGGCACUUUAAUUCUCAAACUUUAAUAUAUUAUUAUUUUUUUCCUCAAGUUUUUUAAGUUAUUACAAUCAGGUCUCACGAUCUAAUGUGCUGUUAACUUGUAAGUGAUAUGGUGGUGUUGUGAUUGAUAACGCGACAAUAAUUAAGAUGUUACGGUACUUCUGUAAAUAUUAAGUCAAAUAAAGUAGAUUACAGGACUUGAUUGUAAUAAUUUACAAUUUAAUUAAGAUAAGAAUUAAAACAAAAUAUUAACAAGAGUUUAGGGACUAAAUUAAAAUCUUAUUAGAAAUUUAGGAUCUUGAAUAUCAAAAACAAAAAUUUGAAAGCCAAAAUGUAAGCUUGACUAAAAGUUCAGAGACAACUAGUACAAGUAACCUUUAUUCUUUCCUUUUCAGUAAAUAUAUUUUGAGCAAUGCAAAGUGUAUACCAAAAAAUAAUAAUAAUAAUAAUAAAUCUAACACUCUACAAAUCCAAGAGUUAACAUUUUUACACUAAUCUUAUCAUUUAUUUUUUUAAUAUGAAAAAUCUAAAAGAAGCGUCUAAACUCUGAAAUGAAUGGGUGUAAAAUUUAUACCUUAUUUUUAGAUGUAUAAAUAGCCUUUCUCAUAUAUUUAUCCCUUCCAAAUAUUACACUACCCUAGUUCGGUUUGGAGAUAAUAAACAUUGUGACAAUUUUUUUUAUCCCUAAAAUAAUUUACUAUUUCAGAAUAGUUAGGAAUAAAAGUAAAAUUGUGUUUGAUUUGUAAUGCUGCAAUCUUUAAAAGUAACUGAAAUUGUGUUUGGUUAAUUUUAUGAAAUAGUACAGAACAGUGAAAGAAAAUGAUGAUUGAAUUUAAUAUAAAAAUAUGAUUAAUACUUCACAAUAAAUUAGAUAUAAAAUAUACAAUGUAAAUGAAUAUUUAAAAUAUUAUAAAUAAUUUACUAUAAUAUUUAAGACAAAUAAUAUGUAUUAAUAACUAAUAAUAUUUAUAAUAAAAUUAAUUUAUUAUAAUAUGUAGUACAUCAUGCCUUCAUAGUUUGCUCUAAUUUAAUUUAUAAUCUUAAUGAAGCUCAGAAUUAAGCCUUGGAUUUACACUUAUUUGACGGAAUAGUUUAUCCUAAUCUAUUCCCCAAAAAAACCCAAAAAUAGCAAGAUUUGGCAUGAAUAUUUUAUCCCGACCAAAAAAUAUUUUAUUUGACAAAAUAGUAAGAAAAAUUUACAUUAUUCCCGCUUUAUUCCCGAACCAAACAGUACCCAAGAGAACAACAAAAGCUUGUGGGGGUUUCCACUCACCUCAUGUGUUUACAUAUCUAAAGAGUAAGAUGUUCAAUUUGUGAUGUCCACAUACACACUCUCCUCUCCUCUCCUCAAUCAAUUUAUUAUUACUAGUAUUAUUAUGAACUAAGCUGGAAUACUAUUAAUAGCACCAAGUCAUUGUUGAUAUUAAUUUUUUAACCCUUGGAUUAAAAAAUGUGCGGUUAGGAUGAUGUGGGCCCUUAAGGUUGAGUGAGUGAUUGGUUGAAUAGUAUAAUAUAACGGGUAAAAAUAAUCAAAGGUUAAAUCUAACAGUAAAAAACUCGAUAGCACUAAGCCUUCGAUAGUAUUCCAGUCGGACUCUUAUUAUUAUUAUUAUUAUUCUCUUCCACUAUCCUCUCUAUAUUCCAAGCUUUCCCCACCAAACCAAUUCAACCCCCACAACAGUCCAUUCCUUUCCUCCCCAUCUUUUUCGGUUUCUUCCUUACCCUUUUUGUGAGAUGUUGGUUGCUUUGUAUCCAUUGUUGGGUAUCUCCUCCUUGUUCUCUCUCUAAAUCCUUUUCCCUUUUCUCCCCCUUUUCUUUCUCUUUCUCCUCCUCCUCCUCCCAAAUAACAAAGAGAGAUAGAGAGAGAGAGAGAGAGAGAGAGAGAGAGAUUCUUGGGUAUUUCCCUCCAUAUUCUCUCUCUCUCUCUCUCUUUAAAGGCAUUGCCCUUUUCACCUUAUCUACUUCUCCUAUAUAACUAAGGUUAGAAAGAGAGAGAAAGAAACCAUUGUUGAAUACUCUUUCUUUCUAAUUCCCCCUUGUUCUCUUCUCUCUCUCUUAAGGCAUUGCCUUUUUCACACCCAUCUUUCUCAUUCCAAAAUAAAAACUGAGAGAGAGAGAGAGAGAGAGAGAGAGAGAGAGAGAGAGAGAGAGAUGGGUGGUGUGCUUGUGCAGGUUCUUGGGUUCUGCUUCUGGGCAUUCAUGUGGUUUGCUGGGUCAACAGUGAUUGUGAAUCCCACAACAACACCAACACCAAGUGCAGGUGGUGGUGGUGGUGGUGGUGGAAAUCAGCAGCCUGGCCCUGCCGCCGCGGCGGCAGCUGCAGCAGCUGCCAUCGCCGUCGACGGAACGAAGGCCGUCGCGACAACCGACGGCGACUUCGUCUGCGCAACCCUGGACUGGUGGCCGCCGGAGAAGUGUGAUUAUGGGACCUGCAGCUGGGGCCUUGCCUCCCUACUCAAUUUGGUAUCUGUUUGUAUUUUUUUUUUAUAAACUUCAGAAUUCGAAUUUUGUUUCUCUUUCUUUUCUCUUUUUUUUUUUUUUGAAGGUUCUUUUAAUUUUAGUUUCUUCCUUCGAUUAAAUCAAGCUCGUUGAAUUGAAUUCCAUUAGUUAGUUAAGAAUAAUAUUUUCACACCGGAUACAAAAUAGAAUAACACGUGUUAAGCUAAACAACAGGGGGGUCAAAUUAAAGUUUACUCUAAUAAGAAUAAUAAUCGCAGAAGCUAUUAAUUUUAACAAAAGUUUAAUGCAAUUCAGAAAAAUUAAUUAAAAUGAAAAUAAUUAAAAGUUAAGAAGGUGCCAAUCAAAAAGAAAAUAAUAAUAAUAAUAAUUGGAGGGUCAGUUUCAAUUUCAAUUUCAAUUAACAGUGGGUAGUGGUUGAGGGGUCUCUAUACAUCAACUGUUCAGCUGUGGAAUUUGAUAUAUUCUAAUGCAUUAUUAUUUUCUUUUCUUAAAAAAAUUCCUCUUUUUUUGGUUGGAUUUUUAAAUCAUAAUGUUCAUUUUUUUUGUCCAUUAAAAAUUUAUUAAAUAUCUAAUUCAUGUAGCAUUUUAAAAAUAAUCUAAGGCCAUGGUGAUUGACACAGGUGUGUUUCAUCUUUUUUCCUUCCUGCAGGAUCUGUCCAACAACAUCCUACUCAAUGCUGUUAAAGGUAACAAAAAAUCUUUUUAAAUCUCCCACAAAUUAACCUAUGAGUCAGAUCCAUACCUCAAGUGAUGAAGAACCUGAAACUUUGCAUUUUCCGCAAAAAAAUUUGAUUACUUUUGCAGCAUUUUCACCAUUGAAGCUUCGACUUGGCGGUUCCCUGCAAGAUAAGCUGAUAUAUGACACAGGGGAUCCUCAGCAACCAUGCAAUCCAUUUGUGAAAAGCACUUCUGACAUGUUUGGUUUCUCAGAAGGUUGCUUACCUUUGCAUAGAUGGGAUGAGCUCAAUGACUUCUUCAGAAAAACCGGGUAUUUUCGCGACUUCUGAUCUGAGAAACAACUUAUCAGCUGCAGAAAGUUUGAUAUGAACAUGACUUACUUUACUUACCAAUGUCUCACUUGAAUUCACAGGGCUGUGAUAAUCUUCGGAUUAAACGCGUUAAACGGCCGCAUUCGUUUGCGGGAUGGUUCACUAGGAGGACCUUGGAACUCCACCAAUGCCGCGUCUUUUAUUCAGUAUACCGUCGACAAGGGUUACACCAUCCAUGGCUGGGAACUCGGUAAGGUUUUUCCAGUUCCAUCUGCACCAAGAAUCACAGGGUAAAUUACAACAUUUAUCACUGAAACUUAGCUUGGAACCAUUGAUAUGUUGAUCUUAGUUUCUGUUUCAAUCGAUCACUCCAUCAAACUUGUUUAAUUUUUCUAACGCAGAGAUAAUGCGCUAGUUGAUUUAGCUGCUGCGUCAUCUCAGGAUAUAUGAAUCAAAUGCGGUGUCAUCUCUCUAUUAUGAAAAAAAAAGCAAGGUUUGAUGGAGUUUGUUGAUUAAAGCAGAAUCUUAAGUUCAGUACAUCAAUCUCAACAAUUUGAAGUUCAGUGAUCGGAGUGAAACUUCUCGAUAAGUUCAAUAACUAAGGACCAAAAUGAAACUUUGUUGGAAGUUGAGGAACAAGAUGUGCAACUUACCCUUGAAAAAUUUUGCCCUCAGGAAAUGAACUCAGUGGCUCCGGAGUCGGGGCUCGAAUCGGUGCCGACCAAUACGCUGCGGAUGUCAUCACCCUCAAAUCAAUCGUCGAUACUACCUACCAAAGCUCCUCAUCAAAGCCAUUAGUGCUCGCACCGGGCGGGUUCUUCGAUGCGAACUGGUUCAGCGAGCUCAUUAGCAAGACAAAACCAAAUUACUUGGAUGCAAUCACUCACCACAUUUAUAACCUGGGCGCAGGUACCCGGUCUGUCAGCUUACUUGAAAAGCUUUCGAGAAAAGACGGCUUAUUCUUUAAGCAUGUUUCAGGUGUCGAUAGCCGUCUGAUCAACAGGAUCCUCGAUCCUUCGUAUCUCGACAGCGAGAUAAGCACAUUUCGCAACUUGCAGGGGAUACUUAAAGCAUCAGGGACUUCAACUGUUGCAUGGGUCGGUGAGGCUGGGGGUGCUUAUAACAGUGGGCAUCAUCUUGUCACUGAUGCAUUUGUGUUCAGCUUCUGGUAGUGUAAACUCAAACAAGUUUUUGGCUCUUAGGGUUUUGUGGUGAAAAGUAAAGAGCAGUACUAGAGAAAUUUAAUGAUUCUGCAGGUACUUGGAUCAGCUUGGAAUGGCGGCAAAGUACGACACGAAGAGUUAUUGUAGACAGACCUUAAUCGGUGGAAAUUACGGCCUUCUCAACACGACGACUUUCGAACCAAAUCCCGAUUACUACAGGUUAAUCUCUUUAUCUAGGAAUGCCGGGAAGGUUUUAGUCAUACAAGAAGUUACAGUCACCCGACAACCGAACUUGACAAAUUUUUCUUUGCGGUGAAUAAUUCUUUUUGUUUCUUUUCUGCAAUCAUGCAGUGCUCUGUUAUGGCAUCGAUUGAUGGGGACGAACGUCCUCUCAGUGAACUUCAAGGGCACGAACAAGAUACGGGCAUAUGUGCAUUGCGCGAAAGAAUCUGUAAGCAACUAAAAAAUCUCUACAAAAUUGUCCCAGUAGUUACCAAACUAUCUCAUCCAUUCAUUCAUUAUUAAUGCUAUUUUUCAGAAUGGAAUUACAGUGCUAUUGAUCAACCUUAGUAGUGACACCACAACGCAAGUGUCCGUCGCGACCGGAGACGGCGUUGACAAUGUCGCCCGCGAUUCAAUCCACAAUGGCCAGGGUUCGAGAAAAUUAAGUCGUACACCGCGACUCACGAAGGAGAAUGGAGUCACAAGAGAAGAAUACCAUCUAACUCCUAAGGAUGGAAAUCUCCAUAGCCAAACUAUGCUACUAAAUGGGAAUGCAUUAUCUGUUGAUUCAGAUGGGAAUAUUCCUGAGUUAGAACCAGUUGAAGUGGAUGCAACACAACCUAUAAGUGUAGCACCGUAUUCUAUUGUGUUUGCUCACAUUCCCAACUUUGAUGCUCCUGCUUGUAGGUAGAUGUCAUUUGUUGAAGGAUAUUUCUAUUUAUAAUACAUAAAAGGAUGGGCUACAAAGUAGUCCAUUCUAUUCAGGCCCUAAGGUUUUGAGAGGGUUUGAGAGAGUUGUUAUUCAAUGAAAAAAAAAAAAAUCUUCGAGCAAAAAUGAAUGAAAAUGAAGUGAAAUUAAGAAGAGUAUUGUGUUAUUUAUGAUUGUUAUUCUUAUCCUUCUAGGUCAAAAUAGACAAGGGCUUUUCAGAGAGAAAUAUUUGCAUGCAUAACGAAAAAAAAAAAAAAAAAAAAAACUACUACAACAAUCAGAUCAUUACAGAACUACAAUUGUUUGAACACGUAAAUAUAUUGCAAGAGAAAGUUGAUAUUUAAUCAGAACUCCCAAAUAUUUGGCACUUGCAACUCCUGUGCAUUGCCAAACAUAGAGAGAGAAAAGAGUAUUAAAAAGAAAAAAAAAAAAAAAAAGAAGAAAGAGUUCCCCAGCAUUGCAUAUAUGUAAAUUUUGCUAACUCCUCUAGAGGGUGCUCUGAACUUCGAUGUGAUUUAAUAAGCUUGUUAAACUAGGUACAUAGUUGCCACUAUGGUAUGUAUCAUGUAUGUAAAAAAUGAUAUUAUAAUUCUCACUCGACAGAAAACGACAUAACUAAAUGAAAUUACUUAAGACUUAUGGAGCAGAUUAUCAUCAGUUUAUUUAUCUUACAGCAUACUACAGGUAAGUUCAUCCAGAUAAUGAAAAAUCAAGUAAUUGCUUUUUUUUACAUUGUAACAGAGCAUGAGAGACCUGUCUUGGGUAAAGCCUCUUAUUCUUCAGUCAACUGGUACUUCAACCUCCAUCUUUAAUCCAGGGCUGCUCAGAACCUGGAAGUAAACAUGCCAUUAGUAUGAGAAGAGGAUAAUUAGCACUUAAGGUAAAAAAGGGGGCCAAAAAAAAAUUGUCAAAUAGUCUCCAAGCAGGACACACACUGUAUUUACUUAAGAUUUGGGAAUCAUUAGCUUGUCUUUGUUAAAAUGAAGUGUUUUAUUUGUUUUUUUUUAAUUCUUUGAAAAGAGGUGCUGAGAAGAUCAAAUGAGAGCAGCAUGUUCAUUCAGGUGCAUUUCGGUGUUUUGCUACAUCAAUAAUGGUUUGACUUGCUACAUCAAUAAUGGUUUGACUCAACAUCAGCUCUAAUACGUCAGAAUUAUUCCGAUUGCACUUCAGAUCUGCUGAGGAUGCUGUCGAGAGUCCCUUGCACAGUACUCUCCAAGCAGAGUCGUAUUAAAUCGCCUUAUUUGGAUGAAAUAUUGGUUAGUUUCAUAAUAGUAAAAUUGAUCAAGAUCUAAGUUGUUGGAUUUUGGAAACAAGACCCAUAACGAACUCUAAAGAGAAGCAAUCUGAACGACACCUAAGAAUUGAAUAUAUGGCAGAAAGUGGACAUAAGUAAAUAAUCAUACAAAUCAAGCAAUAACCUACUUAUUCACAACACUAAAGUAAAUUUUAACCUAUACUAUCGUCAAUACGUUAUAAAGUGUUAUAUCUUCGCACAAAAACUGUAAAACAACCAAAAUGGAAUGCACGUGCAAUGAUCUAAGAAAAAUCAUAAUAAAAGCUUGACAAUACAUAAAAGAUCAUAUUUCCAGAAAACUUUCUCAGUAAAUCUUGUAUAUCUUCUUAUAAACUUGCAUAACAAGGAUGGCUAAAAAUGUACCUUCACAAAAUCAUCCAACAAAAUAGAGGAAUUUCUUGUGUAGCCAGCUUCUUCCAAUACCCAGACCAAGACAUGCUGAACAGCAUUGUAGAAAGUACACAAUUAGGAAGCAUGAGCAAACAUUUCAAACAAUAUAGUUUUGCCAACUCCUACAUUGUAUCCUUUGCAAUUAGCCACGUGAGGGACUAUUGCCCAACUUAAGAAAAGGCCCAAACCUUUAAUCCACAUAGGCAACUUACAAGCUAAUGACCAUCACUAGCACAUUCCAUUGUAAUCAAGCUUUUAGUGUACAAAUGUGAAGCAGGAAUUAACUUUAAAAAGAUUGAGAGGAUCUAGUGGACAAUGACUAAUGAGAAACACCCUUUGCAAUGUUUAAUAUGGAUUUACUUUAUGUAAACAAACUAAUCAAAAAAUUCAGGUUAUAAAAAUGUGCAAUAAGUAAAAAUUUCUUUUAUAUUUCAAAAGAACAAAGAAAGACGACGAAACAUAUACUGAACAAUCUAUUCUGAACAACAUUUUCUUCACUUAAUGCCCGGUUUUCUUAGUAAAGCAGGGUUUUCAGUAAGUAAAAUUUCUUUAAUUCUUUUAUAUUUCAAAAGAACAAAUGAGAGAAGUCGAAACAUAUACUGAACAAUCUCUUCUGAACUUUAUUUUCUUCACUUAAUGCCCUGUUUUCUUAGCAAUGCCCUGUUUUCACUCGAAACAUAUACUGAACAAUCUCUUCUGAGCUUGAUUUUCUUUUGUAUUUCAAAAGAACAAAUGAAAGAAGUUGAAAUAUAUACUGAACAAUCUCUUCUGAACUUUAUUUUCUUCGCAUAAUGCCCUGUUUUCUUUGUAAAGCAACUUCUUAUUACUCAUCUGGUUUUCGAAAAAUAAGAUGUUAAGUGUAAUCAGAAACAUAAAUUGUUGAUCAGAAUCCAACAAUCACAUUGGACUAUAAGAAAACAAGGUAAAAUCUUUGAAGAAAAAGAAGGGAUACCUCUCUCUGCUCCUCCGACAUGAACGACCCCGUCAAAUCACGAAGCACCUCCAACAAGUCCUUAAAAGUUACCUGCCCCUUUCCAUCUAUAUCAUAUACCUUAAAGAUCACUGCUUCACAAAUCAAACCAACAACAACAAAAGAAAAAAAAUUUAAUCCCUAAUCCCCCAAUUCACAAAAACUCAGCUAAAAACAACAUUUUGAUGCAAUAAUUGGCAACUGGGUCUCACGCUCAAUCUUAUGCUGGAGACUCGCUUUUGCACUAAACGCCGAGAGGAACGCGACGAAGUCCUUAAAGUUCAACCCGUCCACCAUCUUAAGCAACCUCUGAAACAAACAAUUCAAGCAGCUAGGGUUUCAUCGAUUGUUGCCAAGGAGACGAAAGGGUGCCCGGCGAUUCAGCAGCUAGGGUUUGAUCAUCGAUCGGUUACCUGGGAGAGGGGAUUGAGGGAGAACUCGGGGAUGGAGAGGAACUCGUCGGCGGAGAUGAAGCCCUUGGCGUUGCGAUCGAGUUGGCAGAAGCGCUCGUAGAGGGCGACGAUCUCCUGCUGGGAAACUGAGGAGGGGGAGGUGGAUUAGGGUGUGGCAACGAGGAGGAGGGGGGAGGGCGAAGGGGAAGUGAGUGGUGGGGGAGGCGCUCACAGAGGUAGUUGCAGUGCUCUUGGACCUCUUCGAUGUCGUACUGGGUGAGCGUGGACGAGGCGUUCCCCAUGGCCGCGCCCCCUCUAGCUUCGUCGAGGACGAGGACGAGGACGAAGACGAUAACGAAGAAGAAGAAGAAGAAAAGGCGAGGGAGUGGGGAUCGAGGUUGCGUUUUGGAGUUUAUAGUAAUUUGACUUGGGUGGACCAUGUGUACCACGUCAGAUGUAGCUUUCCAAUUAAACUCUAACAGGUGGAAAAAAAAAGAUAUAUCAUAGUUCUCUUCUCUUCAGAAUUAUUUGGUUUCUCUAACAAAAAUAAUAUAUAUAUAAAAUUUAAUUUUAAAAUAUUUUUAAUAAUCUAAAUCAUAUUUAUCGAUAUCAAUUGUUGGUACCAAAGCACCAAUAUUGAAAACAGAUUAAUAACUAUACAUUUGAUCUUCGUGAGUUAGCAUAUAUUCGACUACCUAAUAAAUAAGUCGACCACGAAAAAUUUUUAGACUACUGAGCCUAUAAAAGUUUUUAAAUGUAAAAAAUAGUUAUCUAAAAUUUUUAUUUAUGAAAAUAGUCCGAUAAAAAUAGUAAAAUUAUUUAUCUUUUUUAAAACUAAUAAAUUAUUUACCGUUUUUACGCUAAUUUAUACAUUUUGUACAUCCAAACUUCAAAAGAUAAAUAUAUAGUAUUAAUUAUUAAAAAUAAUUUUAAAUCUUUGUAAAAUAGGACGAAUAAUUUACCGCAUUUAAAAAAUAAUAAUUCAUUCCCCCAUCUAAUUUUGUAAAUAAAUUUUUUAUAAAACUAUUUUAUAAUUAUAAUAUUUUUUAUAACUAUUAAUAAAAAAAAAUGGGACCAAGAGCCAGUUUGUAUUUGGCUCCUUUAAUAUACUCUCCAGUUCGGGCUCGUUGAUAGGGGUCUCAUUACGGACUGUGUCCAUUAUAGAGAGUAAUUUAGGGAUGCCCCGAAUGAGCGCCGCGUGGCACCCAGACGCCCCGGAUGGGCGCCACGUAACACCCUGCCCCACGGGGGCACAUCGCCCCCGCUGCUUUGCCUUUUGGGAGAGCGGUGUGGUUUGUUUCGGUACACCCGGUGCACCAUUUUUUGCUUCAAAAUUUUAUUUUUUAUUUCAAUUAUAAUUUACUAUAAUAGAGAUAUAUUUUAGAUAUUUUAAACAUAUAUGUAAAAUAAUUUUAAAUACUAAACUCUAAUUUUUUUUUACAUAUAUAUUAUUGUAAAUGAUCAUAUAUAUAAUUAUAUAUAUAAUAUAUAUAAUAUAUUAGGUGAUAUAUAACUGAUCUUAAUAAUUAUAUAUAUAUAUAUCUGGAGGUGGAGUUCGGAGGUAGGAGGGUUUGUCUAGAAGGUCAACUUGCUCUACGCUGAUAGUAAACGGGAUCAUUUUUUACUAUGGAGUUGCUUUUCGAUGAUAGAGCUUCCAAAUUGGACCGAUCGGCUCCACUGAACUGAUGUAUACCACUUAAAGUGUUUAGAAAUCAAAUUUGAAAUCUGUUUGAAAUAUUUGCCUAAUGAUUCAAAGGGUUUCAAAUUUAUAAUUUUAAGGUGAUAAGAGACGUUUUCUCGAUUUAAGCGGUGUAAGAGAGUAUCCCGGAUAUCAUUGAUUUUUUGUUAGAAAAUUCUUUAAACUAUUUUAAAACAUAGAUCUAUUACUCUUGAUUUCUUGAUUACAAGAUCCUAUCAUUCAUUUUUUACAAGAAGUAUUCAUUUUCAACCAUUCAUUUUCUGUUCACAUAGAUAGAUAAAAGAACAAUACGGAAAGUGCGUCUGAAAUUGUCAUGUUGCUAGGUAUGUUGUAAUAUGGUUUGUAGACAUAUUUAACGGAGCGGAUCGUCAAUUUGCGAAGCUUUAUCAUCGAAAACAAUCCGAUAGUAAAAUGCUCGUUACUAUCGAGAGUAUCUCUAGUCAAUAUAUUAGUUGAUAGUUAAUACACUGAUAGAAUGUAGUAAUAUUAUAAUAUAAUUAAAGUUUAUAUUAAAAAAUAAAGAUUUUAAAGCAAAAAGUAGUGCGACAGUUGUGCCACUCAAAAAACAAUGCGAGUGCUGCUCUCGAGUUGGAUGGCCACACGGCUCGACGGUAUAUCUGUGCGCGUCCCGCAGUCGCCAAAUCUUAUUAUUUAUUACUAUUAUAAAGUCCACGAACAAAUUACUAUCUACUAAGUCGGCGAACAAAUAGUUACUACACUGCCAUAUGUGGCCCUUGGCUGCCUUCGGUGAAACCUGGUCGCUCAUAAACCACACAUCAUUUUAAAUCCAAGGGUUAGCAAAACUUAUAUAGCACAAAGUUCAGUUGGUCUAUUAAUAGUAAUUUCAACUGUGUAUAUAUUAUAUAUAUAUAUAUAUAUAUAUAUAUAGAGUCCGGCUUACUGAGUGAUACUACUCGCAUACUAUCAAGUUUCUGGUACGUUAUUGAGGUUUUCCUAUCGUUAGUAUAACGGUUGGAUUAUUGUUCGCACCAGUUAAAAUUAUACGAUUAAACUGAAUCUUACCGCACUUCAAUCCUGUAUGGGGGACCACUAUCAAUUUAAUCGGGGAGGCCAAUUCUGAUCAUCCUAAUCGUACAUGCUUCUUUCUUGCAUACGGCGAAAACUCAAUAGCUAGCAGGGCGUGUUGGUACCUAUUGAUGUAUGUAGAUCAAUAUAGUAUUGAUAGGUAUUAUUAUGUUAUAUUAUAUAUAUAAUAUACGAGGGCAUAUUACUAUGAGGGCGUAUAUAGCUAGGCUCCUAUGCUUUCGAAAGUACGGGAGGCCCCGUGCUUGUAAGUUGUUUUCGAUGAUGGGACAUCCGAUUCGGUGAUCGGUUCCGUUAAACUUGAUCUACGCUAUUGGAACUAUCUAGAAACCAAAUUUCAUAAUUUUUUGAUUUCGUUUGUCUAGUGAACGAGUAGCCUUAAAAUAAACGGCUGAAAAUGAAAAUCUCAUAAAAAACAGUGAUAAAGGAUUCAAAUUUUAAAUCGAAAGUAUUGAUCUUACUACUGAUGUUAAGUAGAAUUUUCUAUUAAAUUUUCAUGUAAUUUGGAUGCUUCUACACCGUUGAACUUAAAAAUGUGCCACAUCGACCGUUAAAAUAGUCAUUUUUUAGACCUUUUGAUCGCUUAGUAAAUGAUGUCAAAAAAAUCUAAAAUUUGGUUUCUAGAUAGUUCCAAUAGGGUAGAUCAUACCUAACGGAGCCGAUCGUCGAAUCGAACGUCCUAUCAUUGAAAACAACUUACAAGCACGGGGCCUCCCGUACUUUCAAAAGUAUAAGAGACGGACUCUAUAUAUAUAUAUAGUGUUUGACUAUUAUACUCUUAUGAAUAUAGAGCCUCUUAUAUUCAUAAGUUUUUGACCGUUUGAUUUAUCCUUUAAUCAUUUUCACCCAUUAGAUUAUACUAUUCAACCAACCAUUCACUCAACCUUAGGGGGCUCACUAUCAACCUACCCGUAAUCAUCCUAACCGUACAUUUUUUCAUCCGAACGGUCAAAAAGUUAUGAGUACAAAGAUCUCUAUACUCAUAAUAUAGUAGCCGAACUCUCUCUCUCUAUAUAUAUAUAUAUAUUUAUAUAUAGGGUUUGAAAAUUUUAUAUUAUAAAAUUUUAAAUUUUGGAUACUAAAAUUUUAAAUUCUAAAUUUGAAAUUUUAUAAUUUUAUAAUUUAUAAUAUUUAUUCCCAUUUUUUUUAAUUUUAAAUAUUUAAAUUUUAAAUACUUUUGUACUUUCUCUCUUACCUAAUUUUAUUAAAUUUAAUGUUUAUAUUUUUUCUCUUUCUUUUUCUCUCUCACUGAGAAAUGUGCGUACCGUUUUUCUCUUUUUUUUAAGUUUAAUUUUUAAUUUAACGCUCUCUUUUUUCUUUCUCCAAACAAAAUAUAUGAAUAUUUAAAAUAAUUUUAAACUUGAAUUUAAUAAUUAUAUAUUUUUAAAAACCUCUAAUUUUUAUUUUUUUACAGUAUAAGUAAAAUAUACUAUAUUUUGAAGUACUCUCUCUUUGACUUUAAUUUUUUUUGAAAGUUUGAAAAUACUCUCCCUAACUAUAAUUUUUAUUUAACAUUUUCUUUUUUUCUUCAAAUAAGAGAUAUAUAUGAAAAGUAAUAUUUUUAUUUGACUCUAUUAACUAUUAAGUGACUGUAUUCAACGUAUAAUAUAAUUAUUGUAAACUUAAAAAUCGCACCCGCUUCAAAGCAUGGAUACAUUACUAGUUGCUAGGGGUGGUAAUUCAGCUCCGGGGUUCGCGAGCCAGCUCGUUUUCGGCUCGAAAUGAGCGUCGAGAUGCGGCUCUCUUGUUUAGUAAACGAGCCGAACACGAGUUAAUUUUUCAGCUCGUUUAAUAAACGGCCGAACAUGAGCUGGGGUUAGCUGGUCAUGUUCGGCUCGAUAACAGCUCGAAUACAUAUAUUUAUAUUUAUAUAAUUUAUUUAAUUUAUUUUUUUAUAAUAUAAAUAAAUAAUUAUAUAUUAAUAUAUUUUUAUUAUUUAAAUUUUAGCAAAAAAUAUAAAAUGCGAGCUUAAUUAUAAAAUAUGAUUUAUAUGUAAAGUUUCAACUAUUAGAUAAAACUCUAAUAGUUAAGUUUUAUAAAUUUAUUUUUAUUAUAUAUUUAAUCCAAUCUUUUUUAAUUUAUUGUUCGUUGGCCAGCUCGUGAGCCAGCUCGUAUUCGGUUCGUUAAUAAACGAGCCGAACACGAGCUGAAUUUUUCGGCUCUAUACUUUAGCGAGCCAGCUCGUGUUAAAAUGAGCCGAACAGGAGCCGACCCCAGGUCGCUCGUGUUCGGCUCGUUUACACCCCUACUGGUUGCUUUCUAUUAACACAGUAUCCACAAAAUUUUUGCCACUCAUUAAGCCUUUCGCAAAUUUAUAUGUUUACGGGGGUAUUUAUGCAAAAACGCCAUCCCCAGGGGAUAUGUAUAUGUAUUUAUCUGCCUUUUGAGAUGUGCAUCACACAAGUCAAUAGCGUUGACCAGAAAUGGGUGAGGAGACGGGGCGGAAACAUGCGGUGGUGCAGCAGCUGGCGGCGGACGGCCGUGAUCCGCCGAGCCGGUACGUGGCGAGGGAGGAGGACCGUCCGAUCGGCGAUUCGUCGUCCCCGGCCCCGCCGCGUUCCGGUGUGCCCGUCGUGGAUCUCCGCCGCGUGUCCGGAUCCGACGGCGGGGACGAGGCCGACAAGCUCCGAGCCGCGCUCCGGUCCUGGGGAUUGUUUCUGGUACAGCUCAUUAUGACUAUUUCUGAACUGUUGUAACGAUCCGACCCGCUAAGAAUAAUAACUGGUUAAGUCCAAAACAUCGGUUCAAAAUGCUUAAGUACAGUUAUUAUUGCUAGCGGAUUGUGACGAUCCAACCCGUCAGUAAUAAUAACUCAUUCGACCGAAACUACCGUCCCAAAAUACUUAAUUUUAGUUAUUAUUAGUAACACAUAGGCCUCAUAUAUUCUAAUGAGAUCAGUCCAAACCGGAUCACAAAUACAGACCAGAAUUAUCAGAUGAUGUGAGAUUCGGUUCAAGAGAUGUUGGUGUAGCACUUUAUCCCGCAUAAUACUUUAGCUCUUAUACUUUCGGCUAGUAUUUGACUCUGAUACCAAUUGUAACGACCUGACCCGCUAAUAAUAAUAACUGAAUUUAAGCAUUUUGGGCCGGUGGUUUGGACCAACGAGUUAUUAUUGUUAGUGGGUGGAGUCGUUACAAAUAUUAAGUGGUAACUUUUGGCCCCGCACCACUGUCCAAAAUGUUUAACUCUAGUUAUUGAUACUUAGGGAGUGAAAAUGGAUCGGACAUUACUCGAUCCAACCUGAAUCCGAAUCAAAAAAAUUAUCGGAUAUGGAAUUGAAUUUGGAUCCGGAGUCAGUUUCACUACUUUUCUUCGGAUUAUCUGAAUUUGAAAACUGAUUUUCCUAAAUUUCAAUAUAUUUUUUAAAAAGUUUUAGUUUUUUAAACUUCUUAAAAGUUUUUUUUGAUAGAUUUAGAAACCUUAAAUAUAUAUUUGUAAAUCUUUUUUCAUUUUUAGUUCUAUAUAUACUUAUUAAACAUUUAUGGUCAUAUCUGGAUCCGAUUGAUGUUUGUAUCUGUUUGAUAUCCGACCCGUAAGGUCGUAUCGAAAUCCAAUUUUGUAUGGCCGAAUCUGAAUCAGAUUUAUGUCCGUAUUUGUUUAAUAUCCGACCGGUAUGGCUUUAUCUGAGUCCAUUUUUAUGAGAAAUAUCCUAAUCUGAAUCGAGAUAGGAUAUAAAACAAUGAAUAUAGAUUAGGCACUAUCCAAUACAUACACGAUUUCCUUUUAUCCGUACUAGCACUAGAGUGCUAGUCUCUUGCGCUCUUUCAUAUUAUCUGAUGUGGGACUAUUAAGUGUUACAUUACUUUUCCUGUUCGUAUAUGUGGUUAAGGUAAAAACAUUAUAUAGAUUUUGUAUAUAUGAACUAUAGUAUAAUUUUAACGGGAUCGACGGCUGAAAUUUAAUCCAUUAGGUGGGGGAUCGGAUCCGCGACCUCACUUGGAAGUCGGGAGCUUAGGUUUGAUUCUGAUGCCAUGUUACGCAAAAAGAUCAAUCUAAUACAAAACGACCUCAUACUAAUCCAAUCUUAGUAACACAACUGCUUAAACAUAAGAUCAAUCUUUUCGAUUUUUGAUAGAAAUGAAGCGGAGUAAACAUGAUGUAGUCUAUUUGAAAUUUCUAGAACAAUAUUUUAUAAUUUUUCGACAGCAUUUGGUUGUUAUUCAGGUGAUCUCAAGAUUGACAAUUUGUAACAGAGAACAUAAGGUGAUCACUAAGUAAAUGAUGUUAUAAAAUCACAAAAUUUCGAUUCCUACGAAGUUCUGUUUAAGUUAGGAUGAAAGCUUUCAUACAUUUUCUUAUAACUGAAGUCUGCUUAAAACUUUGUCAGGCUACAGGGCAUGAGAUACCAGAAGCUCUGCUGGAUGAGGUCAUGAAUGUUUCGAGAGCGUUCUUUUGUCUUCCGAUCGAGGAGAAGCAAAAGUAUACGAAUCUGAUAGAUGGCAAGGAAUUCAAGUUGGAAGGGUACGGAAACGACCGAGUCGCGAGCGACGACCAGAUCUUGGACUGGUCGGAUCGGUUGUAUCUUUUGGUGCAGCCUGAAGGCCAGAGAAAUCUGGCUCUCUGGCCUGAAACUCCUGCCUCUUUCAGGUACUGUUUUCAUUAUCUGAAUCAAGGAUUGCGAGCCAUUGGCACGCCUCGACACGGACCCUCUUUUAUAUGUUGGCACAGUCGAUACAUGCCGACCAUGCUAGAUCGUGCGAGUGGAGUUGGAUUUUCGGUCUAUGUUAUUUAAAUUUCCUAUUUGCGAUAUUGCUGAUGCGACGUAAGAACACUCCAGUAGCAAAAAGCACUUGUAAGUAUCUCCAAAAAUGUUUUCAUACAAUGUGUCAUUAAUUCCAAAAGCUCGGGUUGUUAGAAAGAUGCAUCCAAUUCACUUAUAGCGUACAGACACGGCACCCACAGGUCUCGAUUGUGACUCGGCCCAACACAGGCCAGGCCAACACGAUGAUCUUCUCUUUCAUACAUAAUUGGAUCUCCUACUAAGUUUGGUUCUGAAAACUGUUUGCAAGCAUCAUUAGCAGAUAAAAAUAGCAUGAAAUUAUCGCCAGGUUAAGAAUUCUAACUGAUUUGGAUUAAUCUCCAGGGAAGUUCUACAUGAAUUCACCACACAGUGCAAAAGGGUGGCCAACCAUAUCCUUCGGGCGAUGGCCGAGUUAUUGGAGCUAGAUGAGGACUACUUCGUCAGCCAAUUCGAUGAAAAGGCGAUAACGUUCGCCAGAUUCAAUUACUACCCGCAGUGUUCGAGGCCCGAUCUUGUUUUCGGCAUCAAGCCUCAUUCUGACGGCUCUGUCAUGACGAUUCUGCUGCCGGAUAAAGACGUGGGCGGCCUUCAGGUGCUCAGAGACGGCGAGUGGGUCGACGUCCCAACCAUUCCUCAUACAUUGCUGGUCAACCUGGGUGAUGGCAUGGAGGUAGUACUCAGUUUCAUGUUUCUGUCGAAACUUACGCUGAAAUGCGAACAAUGAGUGCAUUUAUGCUGCUGAAACAUCGAAAUGGUGCGCAUUUAAGCGGAUAAGUCGAUCUUUUCGGUAACACGGGUUGUUGAAUACUUUACGCAGAUUAUGAGCAACGGAACUUUCAAGAGCCCCGUGCACAGGGUGGUGACGAACGCGGGGAAAGAGAGGCUUUCGGUGGCUAUGUUUUAUGCACUGGACCCAGAAAGGGAGCUGGGACCUGCAGCAGGGUUGAUAGAUGAGGAAAGGCCAAGAUUGUACAAAACUGUGAAGACCAAGGACUACCUCGCGGUGCUUUUCGAAACUUUUGCAAAGGGGAAGAGGGCCAUCGACUGGGCGAAGGUCUAAAAUGCGGUGUCGAACAACCGAAUCGAGCACCGAAGAAUACGAAAUGCCGCGAGUUUCCGCUGGUUAUGGUUGGUUUCUGACACUAGUUUGAGACAGCAUACAUGUACACUAUGCUGUACAGUAACUGUGUUUCAGUUAACUUAAAGAUGUUCUUUUUUCUCUUAACUUGGAUCUGCAACUUUAAAGAUGUUUUUUUUAAUAAAGCGAGUUCAUUUGUUUAUUGUUAUGAACAAGUUCUUGUAAAAGAUAUUAAUGAAAAAAAAAAAAAACUAAAAUUUUAAAAACUAUUUCUCUGAUGAAGGAUAUCAAAUCCCUCCUAAUAUAAUAUCUUUUAUAAAGAACUAAAAAUGUAUAUGUAUAUUCAAUGAGGAGGUUUCAAUAGAAUAUAUUGAUUGAUUCCUACAUUUGUAGACUUGGUGAAAGCAAUUGAUGAGGCUCUCUUUUAUUUCCACAUCCAUUGACUUUGUACUAAAAAUAAAAUAAAAUAAAAUAAAAUAAAAAUUAAAUAAAGAGCAUGCAUUGAUCAUUGAGUUGAAAAAUGGUACUUGAGCCUCUUUUUCAUAUUGCUCUUUAGUCCAACUUGAUGUUAAAUAGAUAAAAAUAUCUUAAAAAACCCCUCAACUAUAGACAAUUUAUUUUUAGUAAAUAAAACCAGAAUCGGGGUUAAAAUAUAUAAUAGGGAUAUAUUUCUUCGUUUUUCUGGUAGGACUGCGGAAAUAUAUCAUAAUUGAUUCAUUGCGAUACACACAAUAUAAUGUUGUGUACGAAAAUAAGCGGAAUAUUUUUUUAUAAUAUUUUUUUGUUGCAUAUGAAGUAUUAUUCUCAUAAUUUCUAACGAAGCCUCAAUUGAACCAAAAAAAAAAAAAAAAAAGUUAAAGCUUUGGGAGCUAUUUCGAAGUGGUCUAUAAUUGAGGAAACUCAUUACAUUUUUACCUAUUAAAUAUUAUAUUUUCUUCUCUUUUUGUUUUUAAUAUUUCAUAAUUCUAAAGAGAGAAAGAUAACAUUAAAAUUAGCAAAGAGAGAGAGAUAAUAUAUUAAAAUUAAGCUUAGGAGGAAGACACCUUGUAUGAUGUAUCUAUUGUCAUCUAUUAUUUUUUUAGUAAAAUAUUUCAUUUAUUAUUAUUUAGUUGGUAAGCUUUUGUAAGACCAGUAUUAUCCUCUCUAGUGAGAUAUGUGUCGGAUGAUUGGCGCUGACCAUUAAUCCCAAAAGUUCGAGCUGUUAGAAAUACGCAACCAAUUCACUUAAAACGUAUAGAAACAACGCCUAUGGGUCUCAAUUGUGACUUGGCCCAACUAGCCUCACGACACUUUGAAUAUAACUCGACUCAACCCAGCCUCACGCUAUUUCGAACAUGACUCGGCCCACACAUGACCUCCCGCCACAAGGCCAGAUGCUGACCCAUUUAAGCCAACAAUAUGUUGAGAGAAUAUAAUAUAGAACAUUAAUAUAUUUGAAUAAAUGGUCAUCAAAUUAUGAGGCGUGUAAUAUUUUGAUUUAUAAAUUUUUAUUUAUUGUAAUUUUCUAUUCAAAUUUUUUAAAUGUUCUAUCAAGUCAUUUAGUAUAUUGUAUCAAAUUUUUUGAAAAUAUUAUUCAAAUUAUUUGAACUGUGGACCAUUUUAAAUUGGCUAUCCAGCCAUUUAAGAUUUUGAUUUUAUCAUCCAAUAUUUUAAUAUGUUUGAUUUGAGUCAGUCAAGAAUACUUUAAUUUUAAAUUUUAAGAUAAUUAUUUUAAUAAAUUUAUAGUUGCGAGAAUUGAAUAAAAUAUACUAACUAAAUUUGUAAAGAUAAAUAAACAACGCAUUUAAAAAUUUGAAGUAAGAAUAAUAUUUACCGACUCAAAUCAAACAAAUUGAAAGGUUGGAUAAUGAAAUUAAAAUUUUAAAAAGUUUAGAUUGCGGAUCAAAAAUAAUACAUAGUUCAGAUAAAUUUUAUAUAUUUUUUUAUGUAAUUAAAUUAGAUAGUGAGUUGUACCUAAUGCAAGUUGAGUCACCAACCUAGCAACUACUUUUCAAAACUUUUUUUUUUUUAUUUUCUUCUAUUUUUUUUAAAAAAAAUAAAUCAUUCUAAUUUAAAAAAUAAAUUAAAAUCCGUAAAAAUGGGAGAAAAAAUUGGAAAUGGAAUACAUUUGAAACUUUCCCAGUGUGAAAGCGACAUCAUAUUUUUCCAAGCUCCCAACAACUUAUCCCAAUAUUAAAUUAUCCACAUAAAUGUUAGGAAAAAUUGAAUGGAGACCCCUCAACUAUAGGAGAUUUCUACAGAGGCUCCUCGUACUUUUUUUUUUUUAUUUAGACCUCUUAAUUUUUCUCAAUUACAAUAUAAUUUUAUUAGUUAUUAAUUAUUAGACAUUAAUUAACCUAGAUUAAUUUGUUAAAAAGUAAUUAAAAUUAUCCAAUUUGAUGAUAUCACCAAUAAAUAUGAAAAUUUCAAAAAGCUAUCUAACUUUUUAAUAUUUUAAUUUUACCGUCCAAUCUUUCAAAAUGUUUAAAUUGAUUAUAUUACCUUAAUAAAUUUAUAAUUAUAAGAAUUGCAUGAAAUAUACUAUUUGAAUAUGUAAGGAUAAACGAUAUAUUCAAAUUUUAAAAUAACAAAUAUCGUAGACGGACUCAAAUCAAAUAAAUUUAAAAAUUAGGUAGUAAAAUCAAAUUGAGGGGGCUAAAAUACAAUAAGCAAUAGUUGAGGUGUUCUCAGUAUAUUAUACACUUGUUGCUUCACAAGAAUAGUACUUAUUAUAAUAAAUUAAAUUAAAUAUUAAACAUUAAAUAUAAAUAAAUAAAUCGUGUUCACAUCCAUUUAAAAUCCCGUGCUACGUGAUAAGUAUUUGACCCUUCAAAGUUCCCAUUUUUAAUUUUGUUUCUCUCCCUCUCUCUCUCUCUCUCUCUCUCUCUCUCUCUCGUCGAUCCAAAUUGAAUAUAAAAAUCCCACAAGUCCAAUGCGUUCUUAGCGAUCUCCGAUCCAAGUCCCCCUCCUCGUUGGGGUCGGCCAUUCCCAGUUCCAAUUCCGAUCCAAAUCGAUCGAAAAAUCGGAGGAAAUCCGAGUAAAAAUGGCGAAGGAGGAGGCGGCGGCGGAGGUGUUCGUUGGGUCGCUCGAUCAGGGGACGACGAGCACGCGGUUCAUCAUCUACGAUCGCAAUGCGAAGCCCAUCGCCUCGCACCAAGUGGAGUUCACCCAAUUUUAUCCUGAAGCAGGGUACUUUAAUCUUUUCCUUUUUUUAAAAAAAAAUCUCUUUCUAUUUUCCUUUUUAAUGUGUUCGUUUGUUUUGUUUGUAUUGCAUAAACGUGCGAUUUUUGUGUUGUUAUUGUUCGCUUAUUCAAGCGAGUUUUGAGAUUUUUGCUUGAUUAUCUCUCUCUCAAAAAAAAAAAAAGAUUUUUUGCUUGAUUUUUGUUUUGUGGGAGUGUGUGUGUGUGUGUGUGUGUGUGUGUGUGUGUGUGUGUGGAGUUCACCCAAUUAUAUUCUCAAGCCUAUUAUUUUAAUCCGAGUUUAUUUAUAUUACAUAAAAGAGUUUGAUGUUUACGGUGUGUUUGUUCGAUUUCUCAUCUGGGUUUUGUGAUUUUUGUUGCAAUUUUGUCUUGUGUGCGUGUGCGUGUGCGUGUGCGUGUGCGUGUGCGUGGAAUUUACCCAACUAAUUCUGAAACGGAGUAUUUAAUCUAAGUUCAUUUUGUGUCGCAUAAAGGUAUAAUUUUUAUGUUAAAUCUACUCGAUUUCUCAACUGGGAAUUGACAUUUUUGUUGCAUUUUUAUGUUGUGGUGGUGUUUAUGGUGUUCGCCCAAUUCUCAUACUGCAUAAAGAUGCGAUUUUUGUGCUACAUCGCUUCAAUUUCUCCACUGUAUUUAGAUGCAUGUGUUGUGUUUGUGUAUAUGCGUUUGUGCGGAUGUUUGUGCUAUAUCUCUUCAAUUUCUCCACUGUGUAUUGAGAUCCAUGUGUUGUGUUUGUGUAUCUGCGUGUGUGUGUGUGUGUGUGUGAAUGCUUAGAUGGGUGGAGCACGAUCCUAUGGAGAUCAUGGAGAGCGUGCGUGUGUGCAUGGCGAAGGCGAUCGACAAGGCCACGGCUGACGGCUACAAUGUCGACGCUGGCUUGAAGGCUGUCGGGCUCACCAAUCAGCGGGAGACGACCGUCGCGUGGAGCAAAUCCACCGGCCGCCCCCUCUACAACGCCAUCGUGUGGAUGGAUGUGCGCACCAGCUCCAUUUGCAGGUCCCCGAUUGGAUCCAUUUCGAUCCCUAUUUCCAAAUUCGAGCAAUACCCAUUUGUUGUUGUUUAACGCGUUUUGGUUUGGAUUGCAUAGGAGGUUGGAGAAGGAGCUCUCGGGCGGAAGAAACCAUUUUGUCGACGUGUGCGGUUUGCCGAUUAGUACUUACUUUAGUGCUGUGAAGAUACUGUGGUUGAUGAAGAACGUCGACGCUGUUAAGUCGGCGGUUGCUGCCGGGGACGCCCUCUUUGGCACGGUCGACACGUGGAUGAUUUGGAACUUGACGGGCGGGCUCCAUGUCACCGACUGCUCCAACGCGUCGCGCACCAUGCUUAUGAACAUCAAGACCCUGGAUUGGGACAAGCCCACGUUGGAGACUUUGGGGAUUCCUAUUGAGAUCUUGCCGAAGAUCAUAAGCAAUUCCGAGCUCGUUGGUGCGAUCGCAAAAGGGUGGCCGCUCGCGGGGAUCCCCAUCUCGGGUUGCCUCGGCGACCAGCAUGCGGCCAUGCUGGGGCAAUUGUGCCGAAAGGGCGAGGCCAAGAGCACUUACGGGACCGGCGCCUUCAUACUACUUAACACCGGCGAAGAGAUCGUUCGCUCAUCUCACGGGCUCUUAACCACGAUCGCAUACAAGUUGGGCCCGAGUGCCCCCACCAACUAUGCGAUCGAAGGCUCCAUAGCGAUCGCCGGCGCGGCGGUUCAGUGGUUGAGGGAUGGGCUAGGUUUGAUUAGGUCGGCGGGCGAGAUAGAAGAGCUGGCAGAGUCGGUGGAGAAUUCGGGCGGGGUGUACUUCGUGCCGGCGUUCAACGGUUUGUUCGCGCCGUGGUGGAGGGACGACGCAAGAGGGGUUUGUAUCGGGAUCACGAGGUUCACGAACAAGGGCCACAUUGCGAGGGCGGUGUUGGAGAGCAUGUGUUUUCAGGUGAACGACGUGUUGAAUUCGAUGCAUAAGGAUGUCGACGAGGGAGAGGGGGAGUUCUUGCUUAGGGUUGAUGGCGGCGCUACCGUGAACAACCUUCUCAUGCAGAUUCAGGUAUAUGCUUAGCACAAAGUUAUGAAUUUUGUUCAUUUUUUUUCACUAAAAUACAUGUCUUCUGUUGUUGCUUCAAGCCUUUUUUGAUUUAGGCAUGAAAUUUUAUUGGCUACAAUAUAUGAUUUCGGAGAUUUCGGUGCGGACUUGGGAAAGGUCUCUAUACCAAUUUUGAUAGAUUUCGAUAGAUGUCUCAUAGUGAAAAACGGACUAUUCUAUUACUUGACGGAGUCUCCGUGAUCUACGAAAGCCAUGAAAUUCGUUUAGUUGUGAACCGCAAUACAUUCAUGUCCUCUUUACUCCUAAAAUUUUUACACUUCCAAUGAUUCUUCAUUCUCAACAUCUGAUUCUUCGCAUUCUUAGCUUUGUGAAAACACAUGCCGUUCCUCAAGUUGGCGACAUAUUUACCAUUUUACCAUUUGAUGAUGGCUCAAGAAAAUUCUUUAAACUAAUGGCUCAGUUAUUCUUGUGUGUUUGUAGGCUGAUUUGUUGGGUAGUCCGGUGGUUAGACCGGCCGAUACCGAGACGACCGCACUCGGAGCAGCAUACGCAGCGGGAUUAGCUAUCGGGCUGUGGACCGAGGAGCAAAUAUUCGCAGGCGAGCACAAGGAGAAGACCACUAUCUUCCGCCCGAAGCUGGACGAGGCCGAGCGGAAGCAGAGGUCCGAGUGUUGGUUCAAAGCCGUGUCGAGGACCUUCGAUUUAGCCGAUUUGUCGCUUUAGUUCUAAUUCCCCUUUAACUCCAGUAACUCCAUUUCUCAUUCUGAAUAAGUGAUAUGUGAACUCCUGCAGUGGUUGGACUGGGUUUUGUUGUGCUGUGGUGGUGUUGAUAGGAAUGAAAUUGGAUCAUUCGGCGACUUUUAAUCUUCUGUUGAUACUCGAAUGUUAUCGUACUUGUAGUUCUUAGUUUCUUUAAAAAGUUGUGGAGAUGCAUCAUAAUUCCUUUAUUAAAAUUUGGUCUGAUAUGUUCUGAUUUGAAAGAACAGCAGUAAUUUUCUUUGUUUAGCAAUUUCUUGCAAAAUUGAUAGAAGUAAACACUGGUGCAACAUAUGAUGUAUUUCUUCUGUAGACCAUUUUAUUAUGGUGUCAAUUUAUGUAUUUUUCUUUUUUUGAGUUUAGCCUGCUUUUAAAAGUUUUCGAUUUUCUGAUUUACCUUUCUUAGAAAAAUAAUAUUAAAAAUAUUUUUUUUAUAUUCCAACUUAUUUUAAGUAUAUCUAUGGAGUUUUUGUUAAUGAACCGUUAACAAUAACUGGUAUUUUCAUUAAAUUACUGUUUUGUCCUUUCAAAUAUACUCUUCUAUCAUCAUCGACUUUUCUUAUUUGCACUUAAAUUAGGGGCACAAAAAAUAAUUUAAUUGUUGAUCUUUCGAAUAUAUCCUUCUAUCAUCACUAAUAUUUUUUAUUUGCCCUUUAAUUAAAGUCAAAAGAAGCAUUUGAUUUUUUUUAAACUCUGGUAGAUAAGUAACUCACAUUUAGCCCAAGUUACCUUAACGGAUGGUAACGAUAAAAGUAUUUUGAAAUAACCGAAGAACAUACGAAAAAUAUAUUGAAAAGAAAAAAAAAAGAAGAUAUUUUCGAAGUUUUCCGAGGUAUAUAAACAAUUAUCCCUCUAUCUUUCAAGGGGUGUUAGGUUCUUCAGAAAAACGUGAAAAAUCUGUUUUUUUGGGAAAAAAAAAAAACCAUUUUUCACAAUUUUAUAUUCCAGAUAAAAAUUUGGGAAAUAGAAAUGCCACUUUUCCACAGAACUAGCCAGAAACCUAUUUUUUUGAAUAUUUUUAGAAAAAUCAAACACCCCCUAAGUAAAAAGCAACCACCCCAACCUGCACACGCAGGAUCACCAAAUUCACGGCGCAUUCGCAUAACAGAGACCAAGAAUUCAGAGAGAUGGUUAUGGUUGUGUUGAAGCUGCAGCGUGAACAAAUUCAUAUUUCCAUCGAAGAAUGCACCGGAAAACUGAAUACAUCUAAAUUUAGUCACCUCAAACAACUAAUGAAAAAAUAAUUCUCACUUCAAAGAAGAAUUUGGCACAGGUAGUGGAACAGUUCAAUGGUUCCAACCAUAACUCAAUACCUCAACAGAUGAUAGAUUUCGGAAAUAGAAAGUUAGCUCUACUGCUGAGUCUCUCCACACUGUAAGGACUGUGUAAUGCUUCAUCUCUGAACAUGGUAGCAGAAACAAAACCACUCAAAUCACUCGAUCAGCCGAGCGCGACAAAUCCUCUCUGUACAGCAAAGUAAACUAAUCCGGCGGUCAAUGAAUCUGUUAAAAGCGGUUGGUCUCCGGGUUUUAGUUUCAUGUGCGGCAUCGAACCAAAGCAGAGGAUCUCUAUUUGCUCCUCAUGCAAUGGAACAGACUUUCUCUGCAACAAAAUUUUUAACUAAAUUUAGCAAAUAUUACAAGAAAGCAAAACCGAGCUAAAAAGAAGGGUUUUUUUUUAAAAAAAUUUUUUGUGCAUAUAAAUCCCUGCAAAUAUGUGAAAUGGCACAAUUGCACUUGUUUGUGCGGUGGCCCUAAAAAAGAUAUAAUGCAAAUAAAUAAGGUUUUCGGAGCCACGGACACAAACACCAACUUCGCAGGGGUACCUGUAGAAUUUUGCAUGUUUGCGGAGGUAUAUAUGCACAAAUAAGCACCAUUUUUUUUCUUUUUUUUUUUUAGGAAGAAACACCUUGUCUAGAACUGCCGCAACAAAGCCGAUCAUCAUCUACAUAAGUAGUAUCGACUCCCAUCAUCCACGAACCAACGGAUAUAUCGUCAUGAGAAUAGGUUUUUAGAGAUGCACUGUAUGAAAGAAAGAGAUUGGAAUUCAUAUUUUUAUUUCCAAAAAAAAAGCUCAUCAUCCUACCAGAAGAGAGAAGAACGAGGCUACACUAAAGUCCACGUUCUUAUGCCAGCCAAGGUAGUCCAGCGAUCGUGUACUAUUUAAUAUUGUGACUAAUACCAAGUUGCAAAAACAGCUAAGUGAUGGAAUGACAUGUUGUAUUAAAGUUAAUUUUUGUAAAUGAGUUAAAGAACAACAAUUGGCGUUUGGCGUGCACCUGUUGAUGUUGAUGUAGCGAGCCAAGUUAUUUGACAGUAUAAAUAAAGAACCAGAAGCAUGCCGGAAAUACCUGCAUUCAUAAUUUUUUUUUUUUAAAGAAGAGAAACACUGCUUAAACAAUUAUUAGCAGUUAAAGAAUGAAGUAUCUUGUGAAGAUACAGGAAUCUUUGUUCAAAAUUUCUUACUAAAAAUAAACACUACAAAGUCCGUCCUUUAAGUAGUGAAGUUUCAACCAUAUGAAAAAUCUAUAGAAAUACAACCCACAGUUCUAACUUCUAACUAACUAUCAUAAGUCCAAAUCUAUUAUAAGUAUACGCUCAUGCCACUUGAAGGGUACGUUACCCAUGCAAGAAUAAACAUGAGGAUAUAUCAAAAUGAUGCAAUCAAAAACAUGGAAACUUUACUGGGUAUAAUGGGAUUGGCGCAUUGAAAAUUAUGACCCAAUAUCAACCAAUAUGUUAAAAGCACAUAAAGUUAUAAGGCUCAUCUCAAACUCUUGUUGAUAGUUUUCUUAUUAAAUUGCUCAAGAAAUUACAUUGUACUAAUCACCUUAAUUCAUAUCCACUAGUUAUGCUUGUGAAGGAUACAACAAGAGAUUCAGUAGUUGUGACCAACAAAAUCCUAUGCAUCAUUUCUCUCAAAGUUUCAAUCUUCUCAAACUGUGGCUUCAGUCAAUCCAAUUGAUACGAUGUGACAAAGAGUCAUCAAUAAAUGUUGUGGCAAUGCUAUAUUUAUGAUCAUGCCAAAUAAAACGCGAUAUUAACAUGCCUCAGAAGUUGGGCAAUUGAAAAUUCUCACAAGCAUAAAGCCAUCAUCGAUAAAAAUCAAAUUCCAAAUUGAAAGAAAAUGCAAUAUAUACUCACGAUUUUGAAUCUCCAAAUUUCCACCAUUCAGGUUCAUACCACUGUUUUCCCCUGAAACAUAAAAGAAGAAAUUGGUUAAUAAAAGCAAGGACUCAAAUCCCUCUUCCUUAUACAUGCAAAGAUGGUUGACACUUCAUAAAGUGAAGGGCAUAAUAUUAUUUACUAAAUGAAUUUCUAUAAAACCUGAAGCAUUCUAUAUGCCGAAGAGAAAAACAAAAGGAAUGGAGUUAAUAAAAAAUUACAACAAAUGGAAUGCCUUCAGCUAGGACCUUAAAAGAAAAGGCUUUGCAUUCCGAGAAGAUAUAUAAAAGUCAAGUCAUUUCAAAAGAAGCAAAACUUUUGUUAUAUUGAUUAAGCACCUGAUUAACCUAAUACAGCUAUAAUUUUAAUAUAUAUGUAGGACUUCACCACUGGACAAGCAUACGUACUCAAUUAAAUAAGUAGCACAUGAAGAAUAAAAAAUGCAAUUUCUGCCAUAAAAAUAUGAGAACCAAGAGCAUACUCUUCACUUACGACAACUCCUGACUUCAUGCAGCCCAUGUAGACACCUUGAUGACCACGACGACUUUCAAGAAUCUCAAUUAACCCAUCUAAAACAGAGAGAGAGAGAGAGAGAGAGCAAAAAAAAAAAGGUAUGAUGUUAAAGACUCCUUUGACACUCCAAUAGUCCUACAACAGACAAUGUGUAAGAUUGUGACGUGCUUAUAUAAGAAGGGCACACUAGAACUAAUAACUAAGCUUAAAUAUUUUGGACUGGUGGUUUGGAUCCAACGAGUAAUUAAUGCUAGUUGACUGGAUCGUUACAGUUGAUAUCAGCGCCGAUUCACCACAUCAUCUAAAAAUCUUGGACUAUGUAUGGGACUAUGUAUGGGAUCGCGUUGACGACGUCGUCAGGGCCUAAAACAGGAGGAAUUCGUGAUACCCCCAUAGUCCCAUAUCAAAUAAUGUGGGAGAUUGUGGGGAACUUAUAUGCGACAGGCACGCUAGAACUAAUAAUUGAGCUUAAGCAUUUUGGGCCGGUGGUUUGAACCCAAUGAGCCGUUAGUACUAGUGGGCUAGGUCAAUACAACUCCUAUGGUACAUGUAAAAUUAUUGUUGCAGCAAAUUAGCACAAAGAACCAUUUUUUUAACCUAGGUCAAGGUUGAUAUUAUCAUCAACUUUAACAUAAAACUCUGCAUCCCAUGCUUCAACUGCAGCACUGAAGAAGGAUUUAGCUUUCCUGGGCAACUCAUCUUCAGCUUCCUCAUGACUUUCCUGGUAGAAAAACAGUAGAGCAGAUAAGGAUCAAAGAACUAGAAAAAUCACAUCGGCCGAUUCAUGAGGAGAAUUUAAAGGAAAAAAACUCAAAUCAGAUGUUACACAUUAGAACUAUAAAUUCAUCAAAGAAUUGCACAAACAAAUUCAUAAUUACAAAAUAAAAAGAAGAUAAUAGAGGAUAGAGAAAAUUAGAAGCCAUCAGAACGAUAAACCAUUGAAAUUUGCAAAAUGGAACUUCUGUUUGAGUUAUCAACAACUUACAAGGAUCAAGAAAUCUUUCGUCCGCCGGUUUUCAUCAUCAAUAUUACGAUCUAAGCUAUCACCUCGAUUAGCGCUGCACAUUCCAAAUUUUGAAAUCAAAAUGCAGUGAAUAGCAAAGUCUACAUAAAUUCAAUCCAUCAAUUUUCAUUGCAUAAACUUCACAUGCCAAUACAAGAGUACACAACUAAGUCUUUAGGACCAUAACGAAUUAGAAAAGGUUUGAGAUUUUUUGGAAGAAAACCUCCGACCAAUUACAAAACGGAUGACGACACCCUUUUCCUCGAGCUUCCUUAGGGCAUCACCUGAGAAAUUACAAUGUUAUGUUGAUAUAAGAAAAUACAAAAUGCACAACCAGCAUAAUCAUAAAGACACUGACAAUUUUCAACUCCCCUGGAAUAUGAACUCUAUAAACCUAAAGUAGGAUUCUAGAGAAGAAAAAAAAAAAGUCAAAUUCAGCUAGGGAAAGCGUAAAUUGCGUGCCACAUUGCAUUGUUUGUGUCCAUUUGAACCUUUCACCUAUCAGAUAGUUCAAGUCAAUCAUAUGUUUUAAAAAGCAUAUAAGAUUUUCGCUGAAAUGUGAGUUCAAGACCAGAAUGUUUUGUGAGAAACUAAUGAAGACAACUGGUAUUGGGCUAGCUAUCAGCAAUCAUUAAUUGUCUUAAAGAUACAAAAGCACACAUCUUUUUGAGAUUUUUCCACAAUUUGCAACAACUAGCACACUAACCUCUCGGCAUCCAUGAUCCCCUAAAUAUGUUUCUCCUGAGACGACUCCCGAAUCCGGUAUACACUCCAAUCACUGCAAGAAGUUUCUUCGCCGAUGUAGUAGACCCAUUCCUCCACAAGUAUCCCUGACUCUUUGCAAGAGUCAAGUCCAUCUCCGCCUCAACUAUCUUCCUCCCAAUCUCUCUACAGCAGAACCAUACAAAUUACAAUUUUCCACAAAAAUAACUUGAAAAGAAGGAAAUGAAACCCUAAACAGUUCACGUGAUCUAUACUUGCAUCCAAGGCUCUUCAACUUAUCCUCCACCGUAAGCACCUUCGGAAGCUGCAAUUAACUAUUAUGAGAAUUACAAAAACUACAGAAUCAAAAUCAAAACGAACAGAGAUCGAGAGAAAGAGAGAUCCAUCCACACAUUGCCCGAGUUCAUCUGAAGAAGAGUGGACAGGACGAUCCGAUUCUGCGAAUCCUGCCACAACCUGAUCAAAAAAGAUAAUCACCAAAAAAACGGAAAAUUCGGAUCGAUUGGGAGAAGUUGAGAUCGGAUGGAGAAGGGGGCGGGCGAGGGGAUCGCACCUGCCUGCGACGUAGAGCCAUGCGAGGCACGACAAGAAGCCCAUGAUGAGGUGUGCUUUGGAGGAGGAGGAGGAGGAGGAGGAGGAGGACGACGACGAAGAAGAGGAUGAUGACGAUGAGGGUUUGGAGUGGUGCGGCUUCCACCGGCGCUCGUGCUUCAUGGCGCUCGCGAGCGUCUCGCGGUGGAUCGGGAGGUAGCCGCCGCUCUCCAUGGCAGCGGCGGCGGCGGCGGCGGUGGGGGGGAGGGAUUUGAGAUCGGAGAGGAGGGAGACGAGGAUGGUGUGGGGUUUGAGGAGAGAGAGAGAGAGAGAGAGAGAGAGAGAGAGAGAAAGAGCGUGAGAAUGGGACUGAGAUCGGCCGGAAACCGGUUUGUUUAUAAAGACUGGUCCGAUCGAUCUGAACCGGACCGGACCGGACCGGAAUGGUGUUUUUUUUUUUUGGUUCCAUUUUUUUUGGGUAAACUUAUCCCAGUAAGUUCACACUUUCUUAUUUUAGUACCCUAGUUUAAAGUAUAUUAAUUUAGUACCUCGCAAUUUUUUUUUUUAUUAUCUCUUUCACUAUUUUUUUUUUUUGUUAAAUUAAUUACAAAGUUAAAACUAAAAAAUACUAAAAUAAAUAUUUAAUAAACCUAGGUUGGAUAUGAAAUGUUAAUUGAGAAAUUGAAGAAAAGAGAAAAAUAAAACUAUAGAAUAUUAAAUUGAUACACUUUAAAUCAUAGAAUAUUAAAGUGAGAAAGUGUGUGGUAUUUAAAAUUUACCCUUUUUUAAAUCCAACACUUAACCUUGAGAAUUAGGUGCACCAUUAGUUUCUAAACCUUAUCUAUAUUUUUCCCUUCCAUUUUAACUUUUUUCUCGCGCACAUCUGUCAUAUUAAACACAAUUUUACUAUUUCAGAGUCAUCUUUCGAAAAUAUAAUUAUUUCGAUCUCGCACGCGAUAUUUAAAAGUUCAGCAUUUCAGAUUAAGUUCGGUAUGCCGCAAUAUUUUUUCAAAAAUUUUAAAAAAUGGAUACCAAGAUUGACGAAAAAUUACGAUUGACUAUAUAGAAAGAUUAUUAAAAUUUUAAAUAGUAAAAAAAUAAAUAUAUAUUUAUAUAUUAUUUUAUAUAAAAAUUUAUUUAUUUAUUUUAGUUAUUAAAAAGUAUAAAAACCACUCCAGCAAUACACGUUUCCCCACGCAAACGUUACGGAGCAACGAAGAAAUCGCUCUUUUUUACGAUACACCCACUUUAAACAGACGGUUAAGAUCCGCCCUCUGAUGAAUCGAACAGGUCCGAAGGCUCAGAGCGCAUGGGUAACCAUUUCUAGGGCUGGCAAAUGAGCGAGCAAGCUCGUGUUCGACUCGGUCGCUCGAAUUAAGCUCGAAAUGAGGGAGCCAACUCGUGUUCGAGUCGGCUCGCUCGAAUUNUAUAUAUGUAUAUAUAUAUAUACAUAUAUAUAUAUAUAUAUAUAUAUAUAUAUAUAUAUAUAUAUAUAUAUAUAUAUAUAUAUAUAUAUAUAUUAUGCUAUUAAUAGCACCAAGUCAUUGGUGCUACCAAGUUUUUGGUCAUUGGAUUAAGAGAUGUGUGGUUAGGAUGAUGUGGGCCCCUUAGGGUUGAGUGGGUGGUUGGUUGAAUAGUAUGAUCUAAUGGAUGAAAAUGAUUAAAAGGGUAGAUCUAACGACAGAAAACUUGGUAGCACCAAGUGCUUCGUGCUAUUAAUAGCAUAAUAGCCGGACUCUCUCUCUCUCUCUCUCUCUCUCUCUCUCUCUCUCUCUCUCUCUAUAUAUAUAUAGGCUACUAUAUUAUUAAUAGUACCAAUCACUUGCUAUUAGGUUUUUGAUUUUUGGAUAAAGGGAUGUGCGGUUAGAAUGAUAGUGAUCCCCUAGGGUUGAGUGGGUGGUUAGUUGAAUAAUAUGAUGUAAUGGCACAAAAUUCGAUAGUACCAAAUAUUUAGUACUAUCAAUAAUAUAGUAGCCGAACUCUCUCUCUCUCUCUAUAUAUAUAUAGUCCGGCUACUACACGAUCCAUACUAUCCAUAGUAAGCGCUUUGUAUUAUUGAGUUUUCUGCUGUUAGAUCUGCCUAUAUAUAUAUAGAGUCUGGUUAUUAUACUAUCGAUAGUACCAAGCAUUUAAUACUAUCGAGUUUUCUGGUGUUAAAUCUAUCAUUGUGGACAUUUUCAUUCGUUAGAUCAUAUUAUUCAACUAGCCACCCACUCAACCCUAGGGGGCUACUAUCAUCCUGACCGCACAUCCCUUCAUCUAAGGCUCGAAAAUCUAAUAGCAAGCGGUUUGUACUAUUAAUAGCGUAGUCGCCUAAUUCUAUAUAUAUAGGCUCGGACUACUAUACUCUUAUAAGUAUAGUAGGGCUGGCAAACGAGCGAGCCGGCUCGCGUUCGACUCGUGUUCGGCUCGAUAUUUGGCUCGCUCGAGCUCGACUCGAAAUUAAAUGAGCCGAGCUUGAACAAAAUAAAAGGCUCGAAAUUCAUUUCAAGCCGAGCUUGAGUAUUACUCGGCUCGUUCGAAUUAGGCUCGAAAAGCUCGAAAGCUCGAAAUAUAUAUAUAUAUAUAUAUAUAUAUAUAUAUAUAUAUAUAUAUAUAUAAUGUAUUUUAAUUAUAUAUAGGCUUUAAUUUAUUUUGGGUCAUUAUUGUUGGCCCAUAAAAUAAACCCAACAAGUACAAUCGUGCAAUUGAGCCCAACUCUAAAUUUACAUAACACACUCUCUCUUUCAGACUUUCACUGUUGCACAUAACCCUAAAACAUGAUAACAUUUAAAUUCCCAAAUCUCUAAUUUUUUUCCCCCUCUCUCUCUCUCUCUGACCCUCAUCCAGUCAGGCAGUCACCCUAGCUCACAUUUCUUACAAUUAUUUUGUAUUUUGAACUAUUGAACAUGUUGCAUCAAAUUAUAGAUAAUGUUCUAUAAAAAUUAAACUAUUGAUUAUAUAAUGUUGAGAAUUUCAAUCGGCUCGUUUAGAGCUCGAGCUCGGCUCGACUCGAAAUUAGGCUCGCUCGAGCUCGGCUCGAAUUAAUUUCAAGCCGAGCUUGAGCCUAGAUUUAGGCUCGAAAUUAAUUUCAAGCCGAAUUUGAGCUGACAUAAGCUCGCUCGAGCUCGGCUCGUUUCCACCCCUAAAGUAUAGACCCUUUUAUACUUAUAAAUUUUCAGCCGUUUGAUGUACGGUUAGAAUGAUAGUGGUCCCCUAAGAUUGAGUGGGUGGUUCGUUGAAUAGUAUAAUUUAACAGAUGAAAAUGGUCAAAAGGAUAAAUCUAACGGUCGAAAACUUAUAAGUAUAAAGGGAUUUAUAUUCAUAAAAGUAUAUAUAGUAGCCAAAUUCUCUCUCUCUCUCUCUCUCUCUAUAUAUAUAUAUAUAAUUAUAUAUAAUAUAUUUUAAUUAUAUAAAAUAAUAUAUAUUAUGUAUUUUAAUUAUAUGUAAAUAGAAUUUAGAUUAUUGGGCCCACAAAAUCAAACCAGUAAAAUCCUAUUUUAAUUGCUCUCCUUCUCUCUUUUUCACUUCCUCGCAGAGUCGCUUUCUCUAAUUUUUUUAGUAUUAUAAUAUCGUAUUUCAUGUAUUUAUUUUGUAUAAUUGUAUGUUAAAUUAUUAGAUUUUUUAUAUCAAAUUUUAGAUAAUGUUUUAUAAAAAUAAAACUAUAGAUUGCACGAUAUUAAGAAUUUCAAGCAGCUCGUUUAAAGCUCGAGCUCACUCGACUCGAAGUUAGGCUCGCUCAAGCUCAGCUUGAAUUAAUUUCAAACCAAGCUUGAGUCUAAAUUUAGGCUCGAAAUUAAUUUCAAGCCAAACUUGAGCUGAGGUAAGCUCGCUCUAGCUCGGCUCGAUUCCACCGCUAAAGUCCAUUUCCUUCGUGUUGACUUUUUGUUUGAAUAUGUAUAAUGUAGCAAUACUACUUGGUACAUGUUAAAGUGUUCCAUGAACCUAGUCCACGGUGCGACCACAACAAUUAACUGUUCUGCGGACCUGGUCCACCACGUCAGCCUAUAAAUUUUAAAGCAAAAAAGAUAAGGCUGUUAUAGAUCUCAAAUUUUAAUUUAUUAUAAUUUUCAUUCAAAUUUUAUAAAUUAUUAUAAUUUAUUUUAUAAUAUAAUUUAAUCAUCUAAAUAUAAUAAUAUAAUGUGAGUGAUGUAGUAAAACUACAGUUGAUAAUAUAGAAAUGACUAAAAUACUAUAUUAAUUGUAACAAUAUAAAUGUUAGAAUCAAAAAUUAAAAAAAUUAAAACUGUAGGGCCUAAAUGUCAGUUUAAGAACCAAAAGUAUACUAAAGUCAAAAAAGUUAUUAAAUUCAUUUAAUUCUAUUCGGCAGGUUUUAAAAUUUGUGGAGAAUAAAAUCUUAUAUGGAGAGAGAUUCAUUUAUAAAAUUAUUUAUUUAUUUUAUUUUUUAUAAAUAUUAUUAAAUAUUAUUUUAUAAUAUUAUUAAAUAUUAUAAAUAAUAUUAUAUUCAAUAUUAUAUUUUAUAAUAUUUAAUAAUAUUAUAUUUUUAUUGGUCCAAAAAUAAAGAUGCAAAAUAUGCAAAAUUUAAAAAAACUUAGAUGCGUUGAGCAAUGCUUCUAUGCACCGAACAAAUCUCAACCAUUAAAAUUUUUUAAAUGGACGGUAACGAUAGACCUAUUAAAAGAGGGUGACUGGCACUUGGGGGUAUAGGUAUCGGUCACCACUUUAAUAAGGGUAAAAUUUUUUUUUUAUUACAUGGAGUUUGCAAUGAGGGCAUUUUGAUAAUUUUCCAUCCUCAUAAUAUGCCAUUUUUGUAAAUUUAAAAUAUUCCACCUUCCUUCAUUUUUAUCCUCCAACAUUUUAUCUUUGUAUUAUUACCUUUCCUAAAUUAAACCUCAUGUCUUUAAACCAUAGUUAGUUAAUUCGAAUACGAUAAAAAUUCGAUACGGAUAAAAUACGAAUAAAAUUCGUAUCUCAAUUUUUAAGUUCGUUGAAAAAUACGGUUUAAAAAUUAGAUUCGCCAAUAAUUCGUAUACGCGAUUUAUACGAAAAUUUUACGUUUAUCAUUUAAAAAUUCGGAAUAAAAAUUUGUUUAUUUAAUUAAAAUUUUUUUAGUUUUAUGCUAUUAUCAUGCAUAAAUAAUUAUAAUUCUUAUAAAAUAUAAAAAUAAAAUUGGAUAUAGGUCUAGCUACUAUACUAUUAUGAGUACGAUCGCCCUCGUACUCAUAAGUUGUUUUCGAUGAUAGGGCUUCCGAAUCGACGAUCCACAUCAUUAAACAUUAUUUACAGCAUUUAAAACUUUUAGAAAUCAAAUUUUAUAAAUUUUCGACAUUAUUUAUCUUACGAUCAAAAGGUCACAAAUUUGACAAUUUUUAACGGCCGAUAUGGAAUACUUGCUAGUUUAACGGUGUAAAAGAAUCGGAAUUUGUUGAAUUUUUGAUAGAAAAUUCUAUUCACUAUAUAGAUAAAGAUAAAUAACUCCGAUCUUGAAUUGAAGGAUCCGAUCAUUCUUUUUUAGGACGUCGUUCGAUUUUGACCGUUCAUUUUAUUCCCACUUAAUGGAUUUUAUUAUGAUUUCAAAAUUUUACGAAAUUUAUUUUCUAGAAGUUUUAAAUACUCUAGAUCAUAUUAAACGGAUUGGAUCGUCGAUUCGGAAGCUCCAUCAUUAAAAACAACUUAUGAGUACGAGAGCUUCAAUACUUAUAAUAGUAUAGUAGUCAUGACCUAUAAAAAUCUUACAAAAUAUGAUGAUAUGACAUUAAAAUUUUAUAUCAAAGUUAUUGAUCUUGUUUUAUAUGGUAUAAAGAAUUUUCUAUCAAAAUUUCAUGCGAUUUGGAUAUUUCUACACCGUUAAACUUGCAACCGGCUCACCACAGCUAUUAAAAUUAUUGAUUUUGAGCCCCUUCGAUCACUAGGCAAAUGAUAUCGAAAAAUCACAAAAUUUAUUUUCUAGGUACUUCAAAUACUCUAGAUCAACUUUAACGGAGCCGAUCGUCGAUUCGAAAGUCCGGACAUCGAAAAUAAAGUAGAAGCACGGAGGGCUCCAUGCUUCUAUAAGCAUACCAGCCACACAGACACAAAAAGGGGGAGUGGAGCGAAAAGUCCACCGUAGACCUCUCACUCCACACAGUCCAUGAGAGUGCAGCCUCGUGGACCGCAAUAUUCGGUGGACCUCUCACUCCACACAGUCCACGAGGCUGAGUGCAGCCUCGUGGACCGCGAUAUUUUCCUACACAUAGGCCGCGAUUUCUUUUUCCUCGUCGCUCCUCUUUUCCUUUUUUGUUUUAGAAUCAUUUAGUUUAAAUAGUUAACAAUUUUUAUUUUUUUAACUAUAAUAUAAACUAAAUCUAAAUUUAAAAUUUAAUUUUAAUCAAUAUUUUUAAACUUUAAUAUUAUUUUUACUAUCGAAUUAACAAUUUGAAUUUAAUUUUAAAAAUAAAAACCUUUAAUUUAAAUAAAAAUAAAUGUUAUAUUUAUAAAUACAGCAUAAUAAUUUAUAUUAAAAGUACAAAGAUAAAAAAAUCCACACAUAAAUUUUACCUUAAAUUUUCUAAAAAAGAAGUCGGUCUAUGGUGUAAAAGGUACACUAGGUCCACGAAGUAAUUUCUCUCCGUACGAGGCGUGUACUUGUAGGAUUACACCCCACCGCGAGAUCAGAAUCACACGGCUAUUAUUACACGAACCACUUAAUCCCCCACCAACCAAUGCGGAAUAACUUUUAUUCCCGCAUCUAUUCCCGAUUCUCUAAUUCUCUCUCUCUCUUCAUAUAUAAGCCCCUCUCUCUCCUCUCUCCUCUCUCUCAUUCUCCACCUUUUUUUCUCUCUCUAGAAUCGUUUCCUUCUCCGGCGACGGCGGAGGGCGAUGGCGACGCCGCGGAGGUCGAUAAGGGAGGAGGUGGCGCGGAGCGUGGAGGCGUACCGGCUCCGGCAGCGGAGGAGGAAGAAGCAGCGGCGGAGCUUGAGUUUACCCUACGGCGGCGGAAGAGGAACGUGCUCGUGCUCAUGAGCGACACCGGCGGCGGCCACCGCGCCUCCGCCGAGGCCCUCCGCGACGCGUUCCGGAUCGAGUUCGGCGACGNUCCACCUUUUUUUCUCUCUCUAGAAUCGUUUCCUUCUCCGGCGACGGCGGAGGGCGAUGGCGACGCCGCGGAGGUCGAUAAGGGAGGAGGUGGCGCGGGCGAUGGCGAGGUAGUGUUUUGGGGGGAGGAGGAGGCGGAGGGGACGGUGGAGCUCGCCCAGAUCGGGGCGGAGCGGACGAGGAACGUGCUCGUGCUCAUGAGCGACACCGGCGGCGGCCACCGCGCCUCCGCCGAGGCCCUCCGCGACGCGUUCCGGAUCGAGUUCGGCGACGAUUACAAGGUGCGGGUGCUUAGUUCUUAGGGUUUUAUUUUGGCCGUUUAAUUCGUAUUUAUGCUUCGCCUCUUUGUUAAUUAGGGUUUUUUUUUAGUUUUUUUUUGCCAAUUUUAGGAGUUUCCCUUAUCUUCGUAAUAUUGUUGCUUCAACGUGCACUCUUGGACUAUAAGGAAUAGUUUACUGUGACUCCCUCAACUAUAGGCCAUUUCCAAAUAGACCCCUCAUUUUUUAAAAAAUUUUUAGUUAGUUUAGUGAAUUAAUUUGAGAAUUUUGUCCAAUUUAAACAGUGGUAUAGUUAAAUUAAAUUGUUUUGAAUAUUUUUUCAGCUAUUUUGUCAACUAUUUGAUAACUAGUUGCUUAAUUUUCACGAAUCUCGAACUUGAUUUAAAGUAAUUUAGAUUAACAUAAUAAAAAAUUAUAUAAUUUCUCAAUAAAAAAAAUUAGAGUUGAAGGUCUCCAUAGAUCUUUACCUGAGAUUUUGUGCACAUAAAUUGCUUAUCAAAUUGUCUGUGUCAAAAGAAUUGCUUAUGAAGGACAAUAUUUUUUCUGCUUACCUGGUAGUUGACUUUGACUAAAAGGGGACCAAGCUCUUCCCGUUUCCUCUGCCACAACUGUAAAUUUGUCUUUUUUUUUAAUUUAAAUUGAUUUAAAAUUGUGCUUUUGAUCUUCUAAAUGGAUGUUUCGAUUUAAAAUUUUGCAGGUGUUUGUUAAGGAUUUGUUUAAAGAUCAUGCAGGAUGGCCACUGAAUAACAUGGAGAGAUCCUACAAGUUCAUGCUGAAGCAUGUCCAGCUGUGGAAAGUGGCCUUUCACUCCACCUCCCCUCGCUGGGUCCACAACUCCUAUCUCGCCGCACUCGCCGCCUUCUAUGCCACGUAUGGAUUAUCUGUCUUGCUUGUUGUUGUGAAAUUUGGAACAGUGAUUCAUACAGAGGGAGACACAGAACCUUUUCAAAUGUCUUAUAUUUAAGUACUAAUUUAGUCGUAGUCUAUGAUGGAGAAUUGGUAUGGGAAACAGGGGAAAAAAAAUUUCCUUAAAAAGUGAGGCUGGUUCUUAAUGUAAUGAUAUUUAAAUAUAAUGCACUUGUCAUCUAGGUUUCUUCCCUGAAAAAUGAAUGCUAUCACUAUAUCUUGGAUAAUAUGAAAAUGUGCAUCGCCUAGCAAGACUUUCAAAUGUCUGUGUAGUUAUGCCCAGUCCUGUUUGGCCCAGCUAGAGUUCCUGCAAAAGUGUUGUUUCAAUAUGUGUGUUGAAAGGAGAAUAGGUGCAUUCUGAUACUGCUAGAAGAGCAAGCUUGAAAUCGCAGCUUCUGUUUCUAGGGUUGAGAAACUUUUGGCUCCCAACUGCAGCAAAAAUCUUUCAACCUUUACUGUUCGCGAAAAUGCCUGAACCCUGCGUCUCAAGAGCAGGGCAUGUUCUAGAAGCAGGGCCAAAUGAGCACCAGAAAUCCUUCAAGAAUAGAAAACAGUGUCCCUAAAUUUUAAAAUGCUGCCUGCAGAAAAUAGCUUGUAUUUUACUAAAAAUACACACGUCAUACGAAACUUGAUUGGUAUCUGAGUUGCUUAACAUUUGUGGCUGAAGGAAGUUUGAGGCCGGUCUGAAGAAGUACAAGCCGGACAUCAUCAUCAGCGUCCAUCCCCUCAUGCAACACAUUCCUCUGUGGGUUCUCAAAUGGCAGGCCCUUCAAAAUAGAGUUGUUUUCGUCACCGUCAUCACAGACCUAAAUACUUGCCACCCUACAUGGUAUGCCCAACUGGUUUGUGAAGGAAAAAUUCUAAGUGCCACUUUCAUUUACCUUCUUCAUGAAGCAUUUGAGAAGAAACACUUUAGAUCUUAUAACCUUAAAUUAAUCAAAGAAUAAAAAACUUUUCAGGUUUCAUACCAGUGUCAACAGAUGUUAUUGCCCUUCAGAGGAGGUUUCAAAGAGGGCAUUGCUCGAGGGCCUAGAGCCUUCGCAGAUUCGUGUGUUUGGCUUGCCAAUUAGACCGUCCUUUUGUCGUGCGGUACUUGUAAAGGUAUGUUUUUGCCGACCAUUACAUUUUAUUUUAGAAUUCUGUUCUUGGAUGAUUUAUGAUAUGUCCUCAGAGUCCCAAGUUAACAAUGUAGUCUCUGAAGUUUGUCUUGUGUAAUGACUAGUUCCUUCCAUUAGUCUAUCAUAUAAAGAACAGCACCACAUCCAACAUUGUAAGACCUGGCAGAGUAACUGAACAACUUGUUAUGCGAAGCAAAUUUUAGGGACUAAAUUGUUGAAAUUAGAACCCUUGAGGAUGUAGUUGAAAUCAAACUUCAGAAUAAAAUGUGUAUUUAACCCAUAAUUUCAAAGCCAUAUUUCUCAUCAGUUGAUCGUGGAAUGUGACCUUGCGAGCAGGAAGAGUUGAGAAAAGAGCUUGAUAUGGACCCUGAAUUGCCUGCUGUGCUAUUGAUGGGAGGUGGCGAGGGAAUGGGUCCAGUCAAGACUACUGCAAGGGCCCUUGGAGAAUCACUCUUUGACGAAGAGCUUGGAAGGCCAAUUGGGCAAUUGAUUGUUAUCUGCGGCCGUAAUAAAUCUUUAAGCUCCACACUAGGUGCUCUCGAGUGGAAGAUCCCUGUGAAGGUACUUGCAUGCUAGCAUGUCAUGCUAUACUUUAUAAAUUUCCAGUGAUUGUUGGUACUCGCAUUGUCAUGUCAUUCUAUGCCUGCGGUAACUUAAUUCGGCCUUUAUUUCUUGCCAAGUGGGAUUGAUUAUAUGAAUCCAUUAGAGAAACCGAAUUCGAAUCCCUUUUAUAAUCCUCCUCCACUAAAUGUUUAGAUGAAUUAUCUUUUCUCCUCAGCUAUCUCUGUUUUCACCACCUCUAUGCAUAUGACUUUGUUGCCUCUUAUAUCUUCUUGCAUAUCUUACUUGGAAACUUAACUCUUCUGGACGCAUGCAGGUUAACUGAAAUAGAGGCAUGACUUUAAAAUUUCUCAUUUAAGAAAGUAAUUCCUUUUUCACUACAGAUUAGGGGAUUUGAGACUCAGAUGGAAAAGUGGAUGGGGGCUUGCGAUUGCAUUAUUACGAAGGUAUGUUAAUCUCUAUAUUUCAGUUGAAUUGGUGAUACACUACUUUAUGUUCGACGCAUUAUCUUGGUAGAAAAUUCACUAUAAUUCUGAUGCUGUGUUUAUUUCAUCAAUUAUGUCUCUAGGCAGGGCCAGGUACUAUUGCCGAAGCGCUGAUAAGGGGGCUUCCCAUUAUCCUCAAUGACUUUAUUCCUGGACAGGUUUGUAAUUAGAAGCCAUUUUCUUAAGCAAUCCGAACUUGCAUUAGAAGCACGGUAACUUAUCUCUAACAUUCGUGUCGAACAGCUUCAUUUUUAAGUUCACAGAUGCAUUGCUUAGUAGCCACUGUAAGCUAACACAAACAUUUGAAGCAACCAUUUCUUCUAUAAACUAGAGACAAGAAAAUGAAGAAUGUUAGAUCUUUCGAUCUCUAUAUAAAAUCAUAAUCACAACACGAAACUUCUCCUAAAACUAGUCCAUUCCUUUGAUAUCAUGCUAACUUUUUUGUACCAGAAGCAAUCUCUACUUUGGUCCUAACAGAAUAUUUUCAUAAAUCAUAUCACAGGAAGUUGGAAACGUCCCUUAUGUCGUUGACAACGGGGCGGGGGUGUUCUCAAAAAGUCCGAAGGAGACAGCCAAAUUAGUCGCGCAAUGGUUCGGCCCCGAAUCAGGAGAGCUCAAAAGGAUAUCGGAGAAUGCACUUAAACUGGCUCAGCCGGAUGCAGUGUUCCACAUCGUUCAGGAUAUCCAUGAGCUCGCCGAGAAACAAGGUCCCUUAUCGCGCAUAUCUUAUCCCCUCACUUCAACCUUCUACCAAUCACCAUAACAGCUCACUGUUUCGCUGUUCGAUUGAUCGAUCGAAACCGCCCAAAUCUAACCUCUGCUCUGAGGGUUUUGAAUUGUGCAUAUAUGUACAGCUAGGAUUGGCAUUCUUUGGUACUGAUCAUGGCUCAUUUUGUGCGGUGAAGUCUCUACAUAAUUCUCGCAGAUGUCGUUCUCGACGUAUUAUUAGGUUGUUAGACGUAAAUUCGUGUAUAAUUAUUAUACGGCGUGGAUGAUAGACUUUUGUUGUACAGAUUACUGCAAUUCCUUGUAUAAAAUGCAUGGCAUGUACCUAAGCGUGCGGGAGAAUGUUUUCUUGUUUGUGUUAUUUGUUACUAAUUUUGAUACCAAAGUUUGCAAUAUUAGUAAUAGCUGUGCUGAUAAGCUCUUGUGGAAGUUAAUUGUGUGUCAUGCGACUUUGUAUUAGGGCUGUUUUCAAAUUUGUCUUUUAUAAUAUUAUAGAUAAGCAUGCUCUACGGUAUUUGGACUUCUCAUGAAACCAAAUUUUAUCAAUUUUCGAUAUUAUUUACCCACUGAUCUGGCGGUGUCACAUACACAUUGCAUUUGCAGUAAAAAAAAUAUAAAUUUUGAGAUCACUUAAUGUAAGUGACCUGACUAGUUAGCAAACAAACCAUCUUAAAAUGCUUAAAUUUAGUUAUUAUUACUAAGAUGUGUAGUCUUAUAUUCUCCUUUUUUCAUCCGAUGUGGGACUAUUUGAAUGUUACAGACUCUCUCAGUUAUGUUUAAAUUCAGUUAUUAUUAUUAAGAUGCGUAAUCUUGUAUUCCUCUUUUCUCAUCCAAUGUGAGACUAUUUGGAUAUUACGAACUCUCUCAAUUUAGACCUUAACGUUCUCAACAAGUCCAAACCUAGACCACAAACAUAUAGAUCAAAAUUACCAGGUGACAUGAGAUUCUAAAGAUGACUCCUGCAGGUUUAAGAGGUGGCUCUCACCAAAUUGUCUCUGAUACCAAUUGUAACAAUCCGAUUCACUAGAAAUAAUAACUCUUUAGGCUCAAACCACCGGCCGAAAUAUUUAAGCCUAAUUAUUAUUACUACGGUGCAUAGCCUCAUAUUCCUAAUAAGAAAUUCCUUUCCCAUCCAAUGUGAGACUAUUGGGAUGUUACAUUUAAAUAAUAGGUAAAUAAUAUUGACAAAUCACAAAAUUUCGUUUCUAAGAAGUUCAAAUACCGUAGAUCAUGUUUACCAGCAUCGAUAGUUGGUUCGGAUGAUCCAUCAUCAGAAAUGACAUGAAAGUACCAAGAGUUUGACUCUUCUAAAAUUAUUCCAGCUCAAUCACUAAUAUGUUCUCGGAAUAAGAUUAAUGACAUCACUGAUGGAAUGCACAGUCAUAAUAAAUCAUGGCUUACCAAGAUCUUACAAGAAACUAAACUCAAAUUCUCAGCUCACAAUCACAAAAGAAAAUCCUUACAGCGCACAAAGUUAUCACCAGAUAACUUAUCCUCACCCAUAAAAUAACCUUUACAAAAAUCCGUAAAUAAGGAUUGGACAAUUUGCCUAAUAAGAAAGACAUUAUUUGACACAAAAUACUUUAUUAAUUAUAUAGUCUCGCAAGACAUAAUUUGGCACGGAAUACUCGAUUCAUUAUUCACAUUGAGUUUGCAGAAGAUCCCAUAAUUCCAUCAAAAGGAUCACUAGCUUCAUGCAUAGAUUAGAAUAUAGUGUAAAAUAGAUGACGAAAGCGAGUAACUAAGGGAAACCUCCAUGCUCUUGAGCUCCGACUGCCCCGUAUCAGCAAAAGGUUAUUUGGCAUGUAGGAAAAUUCCAUAGCUGACUUGGAAUCUCUCGAAAACUUUUCACAGAGUAAACUGAUGCCUCGCGCAAUUAGUGAGAGAAGCAAAAGCACUUUUUGAGAAGAGAAAACACCUCUUCCACAAAGAUUUUCUUACGCUGUUUCAGAAGUUUUACUACGAAGAAACCCGUAAAAAGCAGUUGCAAAGACUAUUUAUCCGACGGUUGUACAGAUGGAUUGCUGCGUAUACAACCCGUUCACAGCAUUCAUGAAAUUCUGUUUGCUUCUUCUCCUCUUGGAGACCACUGUGAAACCUUCGGUAUCCUUUUCGCCUUUUCGAAUUUCUGCUUUCCUCAAUUGCUCAAGACCAGAAUCAUUGUUUACCAUAUUGCUACUCUGCUCUCCACUUUGCAUGCUUUCGGCAGCAUUUGGUUCCUUAAUUUCCUGAGUCUCAACCGAAUCGCUCAAACUGUUCCGACUUGACUUAACAAUGAAGCUAAGCAGAAUUUGUCUCGCAAGCUCGGUCUUUUGCUCAUUCUGUGUGUUAUCUUUGCCUCUAGUUUCUUUACUCUUUCCUCCCUCACUAACUUUUUCAGCUUUUUUUAUCUCUUCUUUAAAAACUUCAUCUGAAGUCCCCUCCUCUAUAUAGUUUUCGGGAUUUUGAGCAUCUAAAUCUUUUUUAAUUUGCUGCAACGCUUUCCCAGGGACGAACUCAGCUGCAUGAGGAUUCAUUACGCUAGAAGAGAGGCUACUUCUUGCAACCGCGCUUUGGCUGUUUGAGAAGCCCGGCUUCCUACGGAAAGAACUUCCAGCUCUAUAAUGCAAAUUCGAUCUUGGACCGCGAGUGACUCUAGUAUUAAUAGAGUGAGGCGAGGGGAUCUCCAUAGUUGCAUUUGGAAAUGCCUGGUGAACAACUUUCAUAUCAUAAAUCGCGACUGUAUUGUACGGGUGGGACAUUGAUAAAAGCGAGCCCGGAUUAAACGGAGGAGCCGAAGCUGAGAGUUUGCUUCCGCUUGUUGUAUCUUUCUUGGGUUCUAAUGAAUUUUUGUUAUCAUCGCUCUUCGGAGAUUUUUCCUCUGAAGUUGCUUCUUCAACAGGACUCGAGUUCAUCUCUUUCUCAGCAUCGUCAAUUGGUAAUUCCAUUUCAAAUUUCGUCUUUUCAACUUUAUUCUCAUCCUCUGAUAUGUUGAACUGAUUUAUAACUUCUUGGGUCUCGUUGUUUGCCUCCUCGUUUUCCGCCGCCUCAUUUUUUGUCUCAUCGUUUUUUGCUUCCUCGUCUUUUGUCUCAUCGUUUUUUGCCUCCGCAUCUUUUGUCUCAUCGUUUUUUGCCUCUCGUUCUUCUUCUUUUUCUAAAACUGGCUUCAAGACAGUGCCAGGAGGCGAUACCGCUACUUCCUUGUAUGAAACCAACUUUGAAGCAAUAGUGGCCACCCUGCUCGAGCUAGAAGCUUUUGUGCUUUGAUCAGAUUUAAUCAAAGAUUCAGAAGUCUUAGCCUGUAAAAGAGCUUUUCCAGGUGAAGAAGAAGACUCACUUGACGUGCUUUUUGGCUCAACAAUAUUGCCUCUAUGUGCUUGUGGCAUAUUUUUUCUUCUGUAACUCGAAUAACCUGUAUUUUCUGAGCUAUCUACGAGUAAUUUGGCAAGAUUUGGCCUUUUUCGUCGCGUUUGAACGGAUCGUCCUUUUGAUGCGGCCUCUUGCCAUCCUUCAUCUGAAGAUUCCUCGGGGGAAGGUAAAUCACUUUGUUGUAAUUCAUUGGGAAUGAAUUUAUCGACUUUUUUGACUUCUUUGACCUUUUCUAGGCGUUCUUGAGGCCUUCUUGAUUUUGUAGGCUCUUCUUUCACUGUUUGAAUGUUCGCAUUUUCCAUACCAUGCUGGGAAUUGACUUCACUUUUAAUGAACUCCUCUUGGUUAGAUCUGCUAGUGUUCUGCAUUAAAUACUAUGCAAUGUAAAGAAGGCAAAAAUCUUAUUAGUCUACAAUUACAUAAAAAAACUAAAAUACUCCUGGCAUUGUGAAAAGGCCAUUAAAAGCGGCCGUCAAAUGGCAUACAUUACCAGAUCCAAUUAUGACAGCUUUUAAAUUAUCAUUGCAUAAUGUGUAGUUAUUUGUAGCAUAAUAAGUGAAGUUCCUAUGAAUUCAGCAACAUUUCAGAAACAAAUUAUGCAGAGAGCAGUUUUGUUUUUGUAUCUCAUUUUAAUAAGGUACUUCACGAUAACAUUAUAUGGUUUUGAUAUACCAACCUUUGCACGCCGGUGCUUUCUUUGCGCAUCUCUCUCUUUUGUAUCUUGGUCUGGGUUUAUGAAGUCAAGAAGAUCUGAUACACUGAAAAGCUAGCAUGUUUCAAUUCGGAGGAACAUCUCUCUACUGUUUAACAUGAUAAUAACAAGCAGGAGUUUCAUACCUCAGGUGACCUUUACUGGCAAUAGAUGCAUCAGGCUUCGGGAUGCCUCUUCGAGCAGCCUCUUGCUGCUCUAAAGCUUUCGAUUCAAAAUACUCCAGCCACGCAGCAGCAUCCUAGAUAGAAUCAAUAAUUGCACCAAAUUAUCAGUUUUGCAGUUUCUAUUUAUGCACGAAAAUUUGCGUACAGAAAAUUAUCCGAACGAACCUGAGUACGAAGAUCCUCUGAUCCAAGUUUUGCCUGAAGUAUCUGCAAAGUCGUUUGUUCAUGUUGCACACUUAAUGUGUAUGCAUCCAUCAUGGAAAGAGCUAUGGCAAUGGCAUGGUAGCUCGCAGCAGUCUAUUAUUUAUAACAAAUAUUAGUAAAGAAAUAAGAGUAGCGUUAUCGCGGGAUUGAGUGAUAAAAAGAUGGUGUAAAACAUGUAAAAGAAGCUCAUCACUGUCGUCAGAGAGGGAAAGAGAGAGGAAACCUGUAUGUGAUCGGCACCAAGCAAUCUUAUGUUGCAUUUUAGGGCUUCAUGUAGGUAUCUGAGAGCAACAUGAACAUUACCCAUGCCUUCUUCCAUCAUUGCUACAUUUAUGUAGGUUGCGGCAGAAUUCGGAUGUGAGAGGCCGCACGAGAAUUGAAGAAGAUAGAGUGCACGAUUCACAUAUCUGAGAAAUGUAAACAUCAUUAGCACAAUAACAGAAAUUCAUACCAAACUAUUAUGUGCAAAUAAAUGUCCAACUCCGUAGAGAUUAGGUUAAGAUAAAAAUUUGAAAACCAAGAUAGAAAUCUGAGUUCGAAUAGCAAAAGCACAAACUCUCAUCAAAUAUUUCCCUUCUCUGCAGUAGAAAUAAAGCUCUAUAGAGAUCGACCGCCUCCAGAGUAAAAUAGAACUGGAGUACCUUUUACUAAUACAAGUAGAGACUAAAAAUGAAAAUCACUUAAUGUCGAAAAGGACAAUUCACUGUCUACUCUGUAAUUCAUGCAAUUCUCAAAAAUGUCGUAAAGAAUUUGCAAUGCAUCUAAUGACUUCGUUUGUCCCGCAAAAUCAACAUAGAGAGACCUUGGAAAUAUAUAUUAAAAAAAAAAAGGCUGCUAGUUUUUGAAGUCAAAUAUAAUUCAGGUUCAUGAACCUAAUUUUAUUGUAUGAACAAUUAAUAUGAUGCCGCCUUCACAAUCAACUGACCUAUUUCUUUUUCAACUCCAGUGGCUUGUCGGAACUCACUCAUAUCAUUCAUUAUUUUGAGUAUUAUAAAAAGUUACAAGUAGCUAGCUACCAAUGGAUGAAACAAACAAUAGAAGCAAGACAUAUAGGGCCGAUAAGCUUUAUACACCACAUGUAAUCAAAACAAGGGGGAUUUAUUUUUGUCUUUAUCUCAAGGGGAAAUAGCUGCCAGCAUUCUUCAGAAGAUACCUUAUCUAUUCCUUUUGAUGAUGUAGACCAAAACUUAAGAAAGAGAAUAGCUAACAAAGAAACAUGGUCAUGACAUCUUGCAGUUAGAUUCCUCAGAGCAAGGAUAAAAACCAAGCUUACUUCAAAGCCAAUUCAAUGUGUUGGAGUCGGUAGUAAAAGACAGAAAGAUCCCCAUAGCUUUUCAUGGUCUCAGGAUGGUCAAGACCAAGCUCUCUUUCAUUGAUAUCAAGAGCCUUCUGCUGAUAUAUAGUAGCCUGUAAACCAGAAGGAAAAAAAAGCUACGCAUGAGCAUCAGAGGAUAUGAAAAAUAUAUAUGUUUGAACUAUGUUAAUAAUUAUAAGAGCUUGGAAUCUAAUCCAGAUCAUGCUUAUUGUUUGUCAUCAAAAAGUAAGAGGCCGUCAUGUUACUCAGAAAAGCUGAUGUCUAUUACCUGAUUAAAAUCUCCAGUGUGAUAAAGAACUACUGCAAGAAGACUGUAAGCAUUAGCCGUCAUUCGAUGAUAUGGGCCACAAACCGCUAUCAAUUUAGAUAAUGCCUACAAAACAAAAAUAUGAAGAAAGGUAUUAGUGAAUUAUAAUAGUGAUUUAUUAAAUGAUUAGUCAAUAUAUAGAUAAGAGCAGAAAAAUAAGCAAAUACCUUUGUGCCAUAACUGACAGCAUCAUCUAGCUUUCCUUUAUCCAAUGCAGUCUUUGAAGAUUCCAAUAAGUUCCGACCAUCUGCAGAGGUACAGGCCAUGUACUGCAUAUCGGAUUCAAAAACCAUCAGUUGAUCAAGUAGAAUGCUUAGUCUAAAAACAAAUUACGACAACCAAUUAGUGUCUUAUCAUACUUUGUAAACAGGAACCAUGCUGAUAAUAUCAGACUUCUCAAAGGGGUUUGGGCUAUUCAUGUCGUAGUCUCUAGCAACCAAUUCCAAUCCAACCUGUAUAGAGAGCAUGUGAGUGAGACUACUAUACAAGAGGUUGAAUGGAUAUUUGCAUCUUCUAGAAUUUUCGUACCUUAUUACAAAGUCCUCGAAGAAGUACAAAUUUCCUCAAGUGCUGAAAUUCAUCCCUUAGUCUCCAAGAAAACCUCUUCGCGAUGAAGGUUUCUACCCACUUCUUGGUAAGAGUUUGUUCAACAAGCAAAUCUUGGUCAUCAGUUACUACUGUUGAGGACCCCAACAAGAUAUUCAAGGUCUCAGCAAUUGCGGAGGACAAAUCUGACAAAUUGUCAACUGCUGCAACCACCGCUCGCAGAAUGUACUUGAAGGCUCGAAUAACCAUCUCAUGAAAGCAUAUCGCCUGUAUGUGUGGUAGCUUCUCUGCAAGUUCCACCUGUUGUAUUUAAAAACAAGGCCAAACUUAGUAGAAAAUUCACAAGAGCAAGGCUACUUAACAGAAACCAACCCUGAUACUUGUACUCACCACACGUCCUAACGAGCACAUAUUAAGCCCCCUUGUAUGCAUAAAGUCUGUUAAGGUUCUUCCAUCAACUGGAGAAAGCUCAAGUGAUGCAAAAUCCGCCACCUAUUGAAGCAAUAACUUUAUGAUGAAGCCAAAAAAAGCACAUGAGAUUUAAAGGCAGGUAUCAGUUUAAACCCUACCAGCUUUGGAAGUGCGACCUCAUCAUAGAACUUAUGUGCCAUCAUGGUGAGCUCAUCUAGAGACUGCUUCAAGAAGAAAUUUAAGUCAGUAGAUAGAGAGAUAUAGACCAAUUCUGAUAUAUUGAAGUUGCUGAUGCAGUGACUGUGUAUGGUUACUGUGGACAAAAGACAUUACAAGCUUUAGAAGGAAACAUAAACUGAUGUGACUUUUCUGGUUAAUGGGAAUUGGUAUUCUUUCCUUCCUAUGAAGGAAUAUUACAUUUCAUUGAUUGCUAAUACAAAGUAGAUCAAUAUCUUAUCCAAUGGAAAGAAGAAGUUUUAUUAAUUUAUCUGUUCUUUCUCAAAGACCAUCUGCAUUAACAAGUUGAUCAGAACAAAUAAACAAAUUAUCUAAUAGACAAUUUUGACUGCGAUAAGAAAACAAAUCAUGGAAAAACAUUGAGUUGUGCUGAUCAUUAUUUUUUUCACAGCAGGAUACCCUUUUCCAAGAGCAUGUUAAACUUUUACGCCUAACCAAAUGAUUGCAGGCAAAUUCAUGAUUCUUCAGCAUUAUUUGAUAUUAUUAGAUCCUACAAGGAUAUCCUAGAUAUAUAGUUUACAUAAAUAGUUUUCACAAUAACGAAGAAGCUGUAUUGUAUUUUCUAACAAAUCAUAUAUAGUUUGUUCCUAUACAGCCAAUUAAUGCAUUUGACUAUUCAAGAAUCUAGUUGCGUAUGAUUGUCCGUUGCUCGUAAACUUCUAAGUUAGUGUCUUCUUUUCACGAGGCACUGCAGAACAAGCACAUGCUAAUAGUCAGAAGCAAGUACCUUCUGAUGAAGACCAGUCCCUGAAUCUUUCAAACGGCAAAAGGCUUCUUCAGGCAGCAAUUUCCUAAUCUCACUUUCCUCAGUCGAUACAGACUGUUUGAGCUCCUCAUUCACUGCAUCUGUUUCACGUACGCUGCUUUUCGCAGAAUCAUCCUUCUCGGGGUUACCAUCCACAAUAUCUGUUUUCUUUUUGAUUUUCCUUAGCUGUUCAAAAUGCUUUCCGAGACCCUUAACUGGUGAUUCAGUCUGAGUAUCCUCCUUCUUUCCCUUCGACACCUCAGCAGGUGAACUGUCCUUUUUCUGCAAGUGUUGAAACCAGCAAGCACCAAGCUCCCAUCGAAUCGACCUGUUGGUAUUGCUCGAUUCUUUCUCUAAUUUAGUCAAGCUGUUACAAAGUACUUUUCGUGCUAAAAUCCGUGUUGAACUUCCAGAAUGAGAAUUAGGAGAAUGCUGAUUUUCCACCGAUGGAUCCACAGAAAAUUUGGCAAGUGGUAUUCUUAAGCUGCAGAAAGAUUUCUAAAUACUUAGCUUAUAUUUAUCCUUAAGGUUCGCUUUAGCAAUUAAAAACUAUAAUAAUAAUAAUCAAAAAAAAGAUUAAGGAAAUAUCUGCGUAAAAGGUACCAUUGUGCAUUUUAGUGUGUUUAUGUAGCAAACCUGUUGAUAUUCAAGGCAUUAGAACCUCCAUCUGGUUGAUCAUCUACAACAAUGUCCAGAUUUGCAUCGUUUGUUUCUCUUACAUGUCCUGAAACCCUAACAGUUGCAGUAUAUCCGCAAUGUUUAAGAACAACAACUCCUAAGGUGGCAGUAUCCUGCAAAUCAUAUAUUCUAUCAGUACUACCCAUGAGAGAACAACUUUCAUUACAAAGAAAUAAAGUAAGGCAUUCUUACUUUAACAACAACAUUCUCAUCAGCCGUUAAACCUUUAAGAAGAUUUCUUACAGAGACAUCCUUAGGGCUCAUGUUAAGCAACACACUCCCAUCAACUUUCUCCUCCUGCUUCGAGCUACCAUCUAACUGAUCCCUUUUCACAACCAUGUACAAAUCUCCAACUCGUUCUUCAUGCAGAAUUGAGCCAUUAAGACCAUGCCCAGAAGCAGUUGAAUUUGGUUUGGAGUCAAUGAGACCACGUAUUGCUUUGACAGCUUUAAAAAUUGCUGUAUCUACAAAAAGAUUUUGUAAUAAAAAGGCCUUCCUAUCUCUGAUCAGCCUCUCCUCUUCCGUUUUGCAUAGCAUUCUCGCCAAGAUUGAAAAUUCUGUCGCCCAACGUCGUUUAUCGUAUUUACCAUCUCGCCCAUGACCACCACCAUUCCCACCCCAGUUCUCAUCUUCAACAGGGAGAGAGGGACAUUUCGAAGAAGAAUCGACAAAUAUAGGGGGCACAAGCCAGGUAUUGGCACGGAAUCCGUACGGGAGAUUACCAAACUAAAAUAUGCCGAUAAUUAUAUCAGUAAAUAGUAAUAUAAAUUCCAGUAUCCUAUUUUACUCUACUGCCAAAUAAUGCAUAUGAGACGAGUUUAGGUUUAGGACCUUGUUAUGGUCUACAAAAGCUUUCAUUAGGGACUCGUAGGCCUGCUCAUAACAAGAACAAUCAUUCAGUUAGAAAAUAUAAAAAGAUAGGAUUGAGGCUUGUAGCAAGGAGAAACUUUCAACAAAAGGAGUGGCAAAAGCAACAAUAAGACUAGUAGUUAAAAAAAAAAAAAAAACAGUCAAUUUAAAUUGCACAAGACUAUAACAAAAGCAAGAGAAGCUUUGGCAUAUAAACAGGUAAACUACUGGUUACUUACAUUUGCAAAUGCGCUGCUAAGCUGCUGCAAAAGAUCCACGAGGGAGCGGCUUAGGAUAUAUUGCUUCCCAGUUGUAUAAAAUCCUUUGACAGAGGCAACUAUAUUUAGAAGCUUCCCAUUACAAACUUUAACCUGCAUAAAUAGCAAUUCAUAGUAAAACAUACAAUGAAAACAUAAAAUAUAACAAGGUGGAAAGAAGAAGAAAAUACUGUAUCAAAUAUGGCACGGCCAAUAAUGUUCAGUGUGAAAUUCAAAUUAAGAUACAUAAAAUAUAUGAUAGAGCUCUUUCCAUGAACACAUGAUAUUUCAAGCUGGCUCAUUUAGGUUCACACAGAACUCAGGCUAUGCACUUUUGAUCUUUAGAUUGAGUAACGAAUGUGGAAAAUGAGAUUAAGCUGUGAUCUUAUUUCUACUGCUACAUUUCUACUGCUACAUAUCCAUCAAACUUCCAAAGCACAAACUUUCCUUCUCACAUUAAUUUUACUGUUUUGCUAUGUAAUGUAAACAAAUUUAAGGUUUUGUGAGAGACAUUGUCAUGACUACUACUCUGAGCACAAGAGCUAGAAAUGGGAAUCCAUAUGCACUAUGAUAAUGCGAUGAACAAACCAAGAAACAUAGUUUACAAGUACAAAUCAUAACCAUAAGCUUACUUAUUUACUCUCUCUCUUUUUUUCCCAUCUUUCUCUCGUUCAAGCAUUUCAACAAACACUUUCUGCGCAAUACAAUGAACAACAUCCUACAAGAAUAUUGUUCACAAUCAAAUCACCUCAAUUUCAAAAUCCUAACCAUAAGGACACACCAUGAGCACAUCCUACAAAAUCAUACCAUACAAAUCAUAACCAUAAGCUUCAUUAUUUAAUUCUUCUCCUAUUUUUCUCUCAUUCAAGCAUUUCAACAAACAAUUUUUGCACAACACCAUGAACAACAUCCUACAAGAAUAUAAUUCACAAUCAAAUCACCUCGAGUUCGAAAUAGUCGCCCUCCCGCCUCUCCGCGCAGAUCCCACCUUCGCGCCGCCGCAAAACUGCGAGAGCAAAGAUUACAUUUUUACCAACAUAGGCACCAGUAACAACCCACGAAGCUCACAACGGGCGCAAGAUACCGUACACUGGAUCGGAGAGACCACGUGGGCGAAGGAGAAGAACUCGUAGAAGUCCCCGAGCUUCGGCGCGGGGUGUAUCGCGGCCAUGUCGAACCUGUCGGAGAUGGCGGGUGCCGGAGACUCCGCAUCCGAGGGAGAGGGAGAGGGAGGAGGCCCGGAUGGGGAUUUGCCAUUGUUGGUCGAAUUCGAGGUGGAAAUGGCGGAGGCGGAGGCGGAGGAGGAGGAGGAGGAGGAGGGAGAAGAGGGGGAGUGGUGGGGUUUCUUCGGUUUGCCGACUCCUUCUUUGGCUUUGCCGAAUACGGUGGCGCACGCGACGAUGUCGAGGAGCCUCCGCACGUGCGCCGCCGCGUGUGCCUCGCACGCGUAGUCCUCUGCACGUGCGAAAUGGGCAAAAAAAAAUUCUCUAAUUAGUAACAAAGGCCCACUUAGGCCCAUUAAGAACCCAUUAAGGGGCCAUUUAGGGCCCAUUAAGAACUCAUUGAGGGCCAUUAAGGGAUUAUUAGCAAAUAUGAUAUAAUUUUUAAUUUUAACUAAUAAUAAAAAUUCAAAUAAAAAACAAUAUAUCACUUUCAAAUUAGCUGUAUUUUAAAUAUAGUCAACUAAAUUUAAAAAAUUCAAGCCAGAAAUUAUAACAAAUUAAAGUUUGAGGACCGAAAGUGUAAUUAAAGUUUUUGGAUGCACCUUAAAUUUUUUUUAUUAGGAAAUUGGUCGAAAUCAUCGAUUGUUUCGGUGACGCCUAAGACGAAAUUUGUCAAUUUUGAUUAUGACUUAUUGGCCAAUUAAAACGAAGAAUUUCUCCAAUAAUUUGCGCAAAGUUCUAAGUUUCUCUAUAUGAACAAAAGUAUUAACUCUAAUACCCUUUUCUUUUGGGUAAAUUUCAAUUUGUCCCCUGUAUUUUAGCGCACCUACAGUUUCACAGCUUUAUGGUUCAGAAAAUUAUACUGAAUUAUCUUGUAGUUUUAUUUUGAUAUAUAUAGAAUGAUAAAGUAUAUAUAUAUAUAUAUAUAUAUAUAUAUAUAUAUAUAAAGAUAGUGAAAUACUAUAAAUAAAAAUAAUACUAUAAAAUACAAAAAAAAUAAAUCUAUAAAAUAUUAUAGUUUACAAAAAAAAUAUUAUUUGAAUAUCCUGUGAUUUACAAAAAAAAAAUAUUAUUUGAAUAUCCUAUUUAACAAAUAUCUUUACAAAAAAAAUAAAUAAAAAAUAAAACUAUAAUUAAAUGUAGGUUACAAAAAAAAUAUUAGUUGUGUCAUCCUGUGAUUUACAAAAUAAAACUAUACUUAAAUGUAGUUUACAAAAAAAAUAUUAGUUGCGUCAUCCUGCGAUUUACAAAAAAAUAUAUAUAUAUUAUUUGAAUAUCCUAUUUAACAAAUAUCUUUAUAAUGCGAUAAAAAAAUAAAAUUAUAAAAUAAUUAAAUGUAACUUUUUGAAACAUAAAGUGACAAAGUAAAAAACAUGUUAACUCCAAAAGAGGCAAAUUGAACUAUUGAUUCGCCUUAGUUUGGCUGGGGAUUAAGGGGUGGAAUAACCCUUUAACCCCCAUUUUAUCUCCAAACACUUCUAAAAAUGGGUGGGGUUAGCUAACCGCACCUCAAAUGGGUUAUUUCGGAUUAGCUAACCCCACCUAACCCCACCAAACCCCAACCAAACACUAUUUUCUAUUCAUAAUAACCCACUAUCCUUCUUAUCCCACCUACUCCAACCAAACACUAUUUUUCACUAUCCUGGACUAACUCCAACCCCCAGCCAAACACAAAAAUACUCUAACCCUACCUUAACCCUAAACUUAACCCUAUCCCUGGAAUAACUAGUUUUUUCUUAACCACGAACCAAACGGUAACCUUGACCUUAAAAAAGAAAAAAAAUAAUAAUUUUUUUUAACAAAAAAGGAAAGAGAGGGGUGAGUUUCCACUUUCAUAUUUUUCACAUGAGACAAGGUACAAUUUGGUCCCAGGAACAUGGAGAUAUUUUUUCUGUGCUUCAAUGUAAAGGACUAGGGACAGAGAAGGAUAUUGUAAGCUUUUGUUUAUCUUAUUUACAAUUAUAUAUAUAUAUAUAUAUAUAUAUAUAUAUNAAUCAUAUUUUCAACACGUAGCAGUUUAAGUUUUGUUUUUUAACUUAGUCACAGAGCGUAGAACUUGGUUGACAUGAUCGUCUCACUAGCUGCGCUUUCGACACAUGAAUAAUAACCUCAAUAACAGGAGUACACCUCCCUCGUAGUAGAUCAUUGCUAGUACAGUUGGUUAAGAAUUCUAAUUUAACUGUCACUUUUUAAGCAGAAAGAUAUAUGUCCUAAAAAAUUCGUCUAAAUUGAAGUUGAAAUAUAAAACUCUUUAAUAAUAAAUACAUAUAUGAGAGACUAGAAUGAAACUCUUUUGAGAAUUUAGUAGAUCAAAUAUCGAAAUUAAAAAUGUGAGAAUUAAAUUGAAAUCGAGCUAAAAGAUCUAGCGCUGCUGGUGCAAUUUUUUCGUAAAUUUUUGUUUGGCUCCUACAAAAAGUAGGUUCAAACUCUGCUACCGCAUCUAACUUAGUUGGUUAAGAACGUAAUGGCUGGUUGGUAUCUGAAGUCCCAAACUCGAAAUCUAAUUACUUUAUAUUUCAAGCUAAGUUUAUUAUUAACUUAGUUACACUAUAGUACACUGUACUUUACAGAUUUUUUUUACUUUUUAUACUGUACUUUUUUUUUUUCAAAAACACCACUAAAUUAACUAUCAUUUUUUUUCCGAUCCCUACAAUAUAAACAAUAAACUUAUAAUUUGUAUAAAAGUUAUAUUAAAAAAUACUGGUUAAAAGUGGCAGAGCAUAUAUAUAUAUAUAUAUAUAUAUAUAUAUAUAUCAGCUAUUUUUCAUAUAAAAUAAAAAAUACAUAGGAAUAUUAAAAGUAUUGAAAAUAACUUGAAAGAAUUAUAUUCAGCUCAUAGAGAUUUAUUCAUAUUUUUGUACUAUAACUAACAUCUUUUAAUAAAAAUAUUAUAUUUUAUCUCAAAUAAUAGAUUUGUUAACAGUAAUACAGAAACCGGUAAGAAAAAAAAUUUAGUAAAUAUCUAUGAGAAAAAUAAAUAGGAUGAGAUAGAAAAGUUAAAAAUAAAUCUAAAAUACAGUGUAAAUAUUAAUAAAAUAUAAUAUAAUAAUACAAUGAUAUCUUUAAAAAAAUAUUCAAAAUAGCAAAUAAAAAAAAACUAAAAUACAGUGUAUUGGACUAUAAUUAAGCCUUUAUAUUUUUUUUUUUUUAAAAAUUGCUACUUUUCUUUCCAAAAAAAAAAAAAAAGAAAACUCAUUUCCUGAUUAUGUAUAUCAAUCAGUGCACAUAAAUAGCUAUAAAAUCUCAUUCCUGUGUACCAAAAUCAAGGAAAAUUUCAAAUACCAUCCUUGUGGUUUCACACUUUCUCAUUUUAGUACUUUAUGGUUUAAAAUGUAUCAAUUUAGUGUUUUGUGGUUUUAUUUUUAUCUUUUUAUUAUCGAUUCCACUAAUUUAUUUUGUUAAAUCAGUGACAAAGUUAAAACUAAAGGGUACUAAAGUGAAUAUUCGAUAAACCUAAGUAGGGUAUCUAAAAUUUUUUGUAUAUAAUUUAACGAACUAUUAACGGAAAAGUUGACGAAAAGAUAAAAAUGAAACCACAGGACACUAAUUUAAUACACUUUAAACUACAGAGUACUAAAAUGAGAAAGUGCAAAACCACGGGGAUGGUAUUUGAAGUUUAUCCCA
This 77026-nucleotide long non-coding RNA is filed under the name Ananas comosus (pineapple). Its description in RNAcentral is "long non-coding RNA (ACOM_LNC009611)". Lineage: Eukaryota; Viridiplantae; Streptophyta; Magnoliopsida; Poales; Bromeliaceae. The record is from RNAcentral.